UUAUUGUCUGGUUUUAUCCUCGUAAUCAAUGUCAAUAAUUUCAUUGGCGGUGGUGGGCACAGAUCCCCAUUUUCGUGUUUAGUGGAGGUGAUGGAUAUCUACUUCACUUCACUUCUCAUUGAUGCAUAAGAAAACAGAGGAAUUCAAUUCGAUGAUGGCCAAGAACAGAGCAAGAGAUAGAGACAAAUUUGAAACCCCAAAUAAGAAUUUUAAAUAACUGGGUCCAUGGUAGUUUAUCAACGAUCUAGUGAUAGUUGUGGGAGUGCACUGAUUCAUUGGGUCGGGUUUGGACGUAUUACAAUGAUAUGUUAUGAGUUAUGGAUUAAUCAGAUUAUGAGUUUUACGAGUUUGGAGGAUUUUUUAAUAUUGAUGAAUUAAAAUUUAUGAUCUUGUUGUUGGGCCUGAAUAUGAGAGGAAAUUUGGCUUUAAUGGCUUUAGAUGGUUGAGUGUGAUCAAGGAAUUAGGUGUUAAUGAUAGAGUGGUUAAACCGGUAAAUUAUAAGUAACAAGUGAUUUCGUGUUACAAAUAAAAUGAGUUUUGAAAGACACGAAAAAAUGAAAAAUUAAAAUUAUAUGGAACGGAUUAAAUUUACUAUUUAACAAAUAAACUUAAACGACUCAGAGUAAUAAUUUGUAAAUAAAUAAACACCAAGCUAGUACCUAAUACUUGGAUGGACAAACAUAAUUGUAGCCAAACCAAGUUAGCUCGAAGCAAAUUCGUCUUUGAGCGUCAAACAACGGAAUCACAGCCUCCUUUGAAACAGUCGUUGAUGAUUCUACUUCUUCUCCUUUUCGAAAAGUCUUAUUGACAUCUCGGGCGACAAUCUUCACAUCUUUCAGCUCGCGUUCCCAGCUGUAACGAUUCUCAUUAGGCUCUUGUCUACUUUCGCCCCCCAUAUAUCGUGAUAGAAAAACUGGUAGCGCCUUCCUCUCGUAUUUAGAACCUAUAUAAACAAAGGUAACAUAUCUAGGAUGACAAGCCUAAAACAAGUUGUCCAACAUAGCGUUUUCCUCGACUUCUUGCCAGCUAAAAGUCGGCUGGAUCUUCAAGUGCCUAGUCGCAUGAGGACGCUGUAUAGUAUGAUUGGCUUCUUCCUCGUAGAAAAUAACCCAAGCAUGAUCGAAACAAUAAACAGGUAUGUGAAUCUGAGUAGAUUCCAUUUGAAAAACUUGGGCAAAAAUUCAAGUUAGUAUAAGAUAACUUACCGGGGUGCAGUGGCAUGAAAAGUUGACAGUGUGAAAUUGGUGGCUGAAUUUGGCAAGAAAACUCUUCAAUUCUGAGUAACAUCGGCAUGCAUCACUAGAUUUAUAACACUGCAUCCUGCAAUCAACCUCCCAUAAGCAACAGGCUGCAGCAUUCCGGAUUUCACAUUUCUUUAAGCUAUAUGCAUUGCUACCGUGGAACCGCAGGAUGAAGUUCGACAAAUCGGGCCCACCAUCUACCUCGAACUCCUCCAAUCCCGGCAUUGAGCAUAGCUCGAAUUUCUCGAGUUUGGGACUCGAAAUUUUCAGCUUCUUCUCAGACCGAGGUGCAUACAGUUGUAAGGAUUUCAGAAGCUGGAGGCCCGGAAUCAUUGGGACAAUAUAAUUAUAACAAAAGUAAUUAUGAAGUGAAGCUGUCAAAUGAUUGAGCUGAGGAGCAAUUAUUACAAUCCUCGAGACUCCUUCGAUCGGAGGAAGAUCGAGAGUUUGGCGUCGAGGAGCUGCAAUCUCAAUUUCCUUGAGGUCCUCACAACAAGUGAUUCCGAGCGUCCUUAAGUUAAGGACAUCAGAAACUCGAAUCUUCUCCAGUUUCUUAAUGAACUUGAGUUCUAUGGUUUCGAGGAGUGGAGAGCCGGCAAUCAAGUUUGUUAUCGUCCGAUAUUUUGACCGAACAUAGAUGCAGGAAUCGCAGAGAAUUCAGAAAAAGAGAAGAUAGCUGCGACCUAUCUGAUAAAGAUUGAGUGUCUCGAGUUUAGGAGCUAUAAUCUCAAGUUUUUCAAGCUGAUGACAAUGAGAGAUUAUGAGCGUCCUUAGAUUAACAACAUCAUAAACUCGAAUCAUCUUCAAUUUCUUAACGCCUUGGAGUUCUAGGGUUUCGAGGAAUGGCGAGCUAGCAAUCAAGUUUGAUAUUACCCGAUCAUCUGUUUUUGAACAUAAUUUAGAUGCAGGAAUCGCAGAGACUUCAGAGAAAGAGAAUGAAGAUCACCAUUGUUACAGACGAGAGCCAGAUUUCUGAAGUGGAGGCUCGUCAUGGUGGAAUUGGAGAGUGAUUCCAAGGCCAAGCAGAGUCUGUAGUUACACUUGUUGUGAAGAUCUAUAGAGAUCUCUUCUGCCUUCCUGUUCAACGCUAAAACCAGAAGCUGCUCAACAACGGAGGAAACGGUGCAAUUUUCUUUCUCGCCGAGAAGGAGCUUCAGCUUUUCCAUCCGCAGAAGGUUGUCUCGAGAGAAUCAUAGAAUCGAAGCGUCGCACAAAUUCUGGAGAUUCCCUGAGUAAUUUUGGGGGAUGCAAUCAUGGCGGUCGAAUGCCACAACGGGAUAUGAUUGCCAGAGACUCUGCCAUUGCUUUGACAGGUUUGAGGUCUGCGCUACUUGUUUCGAUGAGGCGGAGUAUGCAGUGAAGGAUAUCAUCCGGAAAUAAUGAGAUCCGAUCGAUCUGAUCGGAACAAGGGGUUUUGUUCGGGGCAGCUUCUUUUCCAUCGGAAUUGGGUUAGCGGUGAUAGUUGAAGUUUAGGUUAUGAUCAGAAAGAGAUCCGAUUUGUGGCGGCGCGAAAGUUUGAAUUAGAAGAGCUAUGGGUUGGGCCUCGUUAGCUUAAAUAGUUUAGGCCUUGAAUUUUGUAAAAUGGGCUUUUAUUUGGGACCUUCAGUCUUUAGCAAGUUGAACGCACUCCAGCCCAACAUCGCGUCGUCCACUCACAAUGUGGCCGUCAAUAAUCAACGGUGUAGAUCUAGCACACCCUUACUCGUCACUUACGUGAAAAGAUAAGUUCCGUCACUAAAGCUCUAUGUAAAACCCAUCAACCAAAACAUCAAAUAAAGGAGAUGAUAUAGUCUUAACUUAAUCAAUACACCGUGGUUGUCCACCUAUACGGGCUAUACACCCAUUAAUACGGUGCUGUUCAAAUCAGUUUUAUCGACAAUAGAGCACACGCAUCUCGAUACUUUUCUGUCUUUCUCUUUCACAUUCUCUAUAUGCUUAUACCGAUGAUAUGCAUUAUGACUACCUUUCCUUAUCCGCUUUUUUAAUUAGGUAUUUUUGCUGAAAACUCACUCCUAAAUAUAUAUCCAAAGUUGAAAAAAGCAAUCAAUUUACUCAACUUGACCCAACCAUCAAACCAUACAUAUAUAUUAUUGCUCCGAACUAACCUCCUAUAUCGAACAACAUUAUAUCUUGAUUCUCUGAUCAUUCGUUCUCGUUCAACACUAAAUCCAAGUCCAUCCUCUACUUACAACAUAAAACGUAAGAACAUCAAGCAUCAUUAUAGCACGGUGAGUAAAUAAAAUCAUACUCAAUUAAAUUAACUCGAAGACUGCAUAUAAACAAUAUCUUGCUAGUCAAAGGCCGGAAAACUAGGAUUGCAUCAUCGGCUCAACGUCGUCUGGCUAUGUUGUCUGUCAGGGUUCGCCGUGAAAUCUUUGAUGUCGUGGCGGAAGCAGAAUCGAAGUGGCACGAUUUCCCAGAUUUAAUGGAUAUGAUUGCCGGCUUUUUUUGAAAUUCCUAGGUGAGGUAUUGGGAACUGAGAUACCGACAAAAUCAGUUUAUAGAUUCGGGGUAAUAUUAAUAUAUGACGACACGUUCAAAAUUCAAUAAGCUCAUAGCAGAACAAAUCAAAGUCAGCACCUCCAUCAAAUUAACCGACUUGCCCCCACUCCUUCAUUAAAUAUAUACUCGAUGGCAUCGAGUUAUGACUCAAAACUAAGACAUACAUACCAUACAAAAUUAUUUUGAACGACAUUUUGGUUCGUAUCGUUCAAUCGGAUGAUAUAAUAUUUAUUUGAUUUGGAGAAUUGAUUGGAUAAGUUUGUUUGAUGAACUUCCUGAAGAGUGUUAAGAGGUUGGAUAUGUAACGGCUAAGUAUUUGUAGGAAAGAUUAGAAAAUAAAUAACUAAAUAAGUACGAGGAAUGUCAUUAAGACAGUAUUUAUGUGAGUGGUUGGGUGUACUUAGUGAUCUCUUAAACAAAAAAUUAAGCUUUUUUAUAGGUGCAUCGAGUUUGAACACAUCAUUUUAGGGUUUUCAAAAUUUGUCUAAGAUUUUUUGCGGUUGGUUGAGAGUUUCAAUCAAUAACAAACAUUCUCUAUAUAUACUUGGGCCAAGAGCAUAAUUAAAUCAAAAAUUAUAUAAACAUAAAUCAAAACCCAAAUUACAAAAAAUAACAAUUACCAAAACUUAGUUGCGCCGCAAAUCCUAUCCAGCGCACUCCACAUUUCAAAACUUACAUUUAUUUCACGAAACCAAUUUUUUCUUUGAACAACCAAAUUUGUGUAAUUUCAAUUUAGUCACUCAAUUAGUUUAUAAAGUGCGGUUAAUUGAAACUCGAUGUUUGGUGCGUUAAGCUAACAUCAGUUUGUUACGAAAUUGGCUAGAAUGCACUAAAUCAGUUAAAAUUUGAGCUCAAUCCGUAUCUGGGCUAAACUCGAGUUAACCAUAACAUAUUGUAAAUAUAAGCAAUCGUUCAAUUUAAAAUCUGUUUCGGUUAACCCGAGUUCAGCUCAGAUACGGAUUGAGCUUAAAUUUUAACUGGUUUAGUACAUUUUAACCAAUUUCGGAACCAAUUAACGUUAACCUAAUGCACUGAAAAUUAAGUUUCAGUUAACCACACUUCAUAAACUAAUUGAGUGACUAAAUUGCAAUUAUAUAGUAGUUUGGAUGAUAAAGUAUAAAUCUGAGUUUGAUGAAGUAAAUCAAAUAAUGCAACUUUUGAGAUGUGGAGUGUACCGUAAACGUUACAGUGCACAGUGCAACGUAAGUUUCAGUAAUUGUAAUUUUUUGUAAUUUUGAUUUCGACUUGAUUGUUUAUGUAAUUUUCGAUUUAAUCGUGUCUAUAAAAAGAAUUUCUUCCUUGGGCCAGACCCAUUUGAUCCUUAUAUUAUUAUGAGAAAAAUUAAUAUAUUUUUCAUAUGCGGCCGGAUGCAUUUCAAAUUCGAUACAAUUCCGCCGAGUGUAGUAAAUACUUUUGGAUCUGCCGCUGCAUGUUCCUAAACUACCGGUUGGCAUCAGGUCGAAUCGGUUGGCGAGAUAAUGCGAAUCAUGUGGACUGGAGGAGCUCAACGAUCGUAGUCAAUCUGCAAUGCAAACCACUGGAAACGAUACCAGCAGGCAUUAAUCAUUUAAUUGUAUGACUCGGACGACCCAAGUUUACUUUUUGCUAUGUCAUAAUGUAAUUGAAUUGAUUUAAUGCGCCAACUGUGUACGCGUAGACUAUUGUCCUCAAGCGUUGCUCCACAAAGACUCGGUCCCAAUAGUUUUGAUGAUUUUUUACCGCAUUAUAUACUUUCUGCUGCUUGGCGUUAACGUAUUCAUGAAUUUUUUUACAUAGUAAAAUACCAUACAUAUACGGUAUUCAUAUAGUUUUAUACAUAAUUUUUAAUAUAAUAAUACGAGAAUGCAUUUAGAAUUCUAACAAUCUGGUUAAGUGCAUUAAACAAUUUCGAAUUCAAAGCUCUAGUGGAUUCUGGGGAUCUUUGCAUGGUAUCCGUCUGUUGCUAAGCUGGCAAGACUGUGCUUGGGAAAUUAAAUUAAGGAAGGCGUUUGGUAGCUGCUAGCUAAGCUAGUAAGUGAGUGGUAACCAGUAGUAGGAGAGUUGGUAGUUAUUAAAAAUUAUUUGCUAGUUUGUUCCUGAAUCCAGCCAAGUAAACGACCACAGUUUUCAACGUCACUCACUAACACCAAAAGCUAGAGGAAAAAUAAUUAGUUAUAAUAAAUUAUGUUCAGAAUUCAAAAGGAAAUGUAGAGAGCUUAGCAGUUAGCAGAAAAUUUUAGAAAAUAAGUAAAUAUAAAUAAUUUUUUUUUGUAAGAAGUUUCAAUAAAAUUAAAAUAAAAUUUCAGUAAAAUCAAAAUAAAAUCUUAAUAAAUUCAAAAUAACAUAUUCUGAGACAUGUGAUAUUAAUUUUUCGACCACUCAUUUACUGAUAUGCGACGUGUUUACGCAAUCCAUAUCAAUAGUAUGAUCUACGGUGGGUAUUUUUCGAAAAUUUAAAAUUUGGAACCGUUCAGCUUUCGGUGACGAGAUGGGCAAACCUAGACAUCAAAGGAGGAGCCAAAAUACGCAUUUAAUCGCUGCCUAACAAAUACCACACAAAUACCUCAGCAUCGUUUCCAACACACGCUUGCCCAUUACUACGCAAAUAAUAAUAAUAAUAAUAAUAAUAAAUAAAUAAAUAGGAGACCAGNNNNNNNNNNNNNNNNNNNNNNNNNNNNNNNNNACAUCUGCUGUUAUAUCUCAUUCCCAGAAGGGCACUUAGUAUUGCAGCUGCAAUGCUAAAAUGCGUGCAGCGAUGCUGAGAAGGGAAGGCCCCAGACCACAGCAAAAGGAUGCAACUCCUUCCUCUCGCAGCAUUUUCACAGCAAUCCGGAUCAUUAGCAAAAAUUUUAAAUCGAUUAAUAUUUGACAUGCAUGUUAGAAAUGACUAAAAACUUAAGUUUCGUUAUGAUCACCCCUUUAAAUAAUGGUCAAAUUAAUUUAAAAAUUAAUUUUACUUAAUUUUGUUUUAACGAGUUAAAAAAUAUUUUUUUAAAUUCAUUUUUAAAUUAAUUUAAUUACUUUAUACAUGCCUGAUGAAAACAAGCCUAUUGGCUUCUUCAUGUUGGUAAACGUAAGUUACUUUAUAAAGAUUGAUGAUGCAAUUGUUCAAAACCCAAUUUGUGAUGGCAAAAAUGGAUAUUAAGCCACCAUUCAACCAUGUAUAAAUAUAAGCGAAUCCCAGUUCCCUGUGUUUCAACAUCUUCAUACUCCACACUUUGAAUGAAGAAGAAGAUCAGAACAACACUCAAAACACUUAACCAACUCUUCCCAUUUCACCAUCCAAUCAUCUCUACAGAUCAUUGCUUCCUAAUCUAAUCUCAACUUUUCACCAACAAUGGCCUUCAAACUCAUCCUCCUUCUCCUCCUUCCCCUGAUCUUCCUGUUAACCCAAACCGCCGAUUCCGAACCCACCAACAAAAUCAUCCACCGAUCAGAUCCGCCGUCUCCGGUGCCGGAGAGAUCCCCAACUUCCAAUAUCCCGCCAGAAGCAGCAGCAGUAGGGGCAGCUGAGGCGCCUAAAGAAGCGGCGGCGGAGGCAGAGUUGGAGGCGAAGGAGGAGGAGAAGGAGCAGAGGAAGCGGCACAUUGACAAAUCAGUAGCCGGCGGCGGAGUCAUACUCGGCGGCCUAAUUACCGCCGUCUGUAUGGGGGGCCGUCUGUAUGGCGGUCUUCUGCUACAUCCGGGUCACCAGAAAGAGAGACGACGAGCUACUACCCAUUGUCAUCGCCAAUCGGAAGUCGACCGAUGCGCUUGCUGUGACCAAGCUGCAGCAGCAAUCCAUUGUCGUUUCAUCGUCACCGGCGCCGGCGCCGGUUUCUGCUUAGUGAUGAUUAAUUACUUCCUAUGUCCUCAUAGAUUAUGAUUUAAUAGCGUUAGUUAGGUGGGCUUUUUUGGGGGAUUAACAGUUAUGAUUAUUCUUUGAUUAGUGUGUAAUUCGUGUGACUGUAUAAACAUCUAAAUACUAUCCUCUGGUUCUCUCUGUUCUCUCCUUUUUCUGAGAUUCCAUCACAAAGUUUUGUUAAUGGCGGUGUUGGAAGAAGCUGUUCUACCAACACUUUGAUGAUUCGUCGUUUUAUGAAAGACCAAUGAAUUCAAAAGUUUGAUGGGAUUGGAUCUCUGGACUCUUUGUAAAGGUCUUGUUUUUUCUUUGUCCCCAAUGGGUUUAAGUUCAAGCGCAGAUUAAGCCACUAAUUAAGGCACAUACGUGGCUGAUUAUUUAUUUUCUGGCACAUCAAUGGGUUGGAUCCAUGUAUUUUUACAAAGUCGGUUCACGAUGCCGCACGGUUUGUCGGGAAUUUUAAGAUAAUUUCGGGAAAUUUAGGGUGAUAAGUUCAAAACUCGUGGCAUUAUAAGAUGAUAGUGGAGCGAACUAUUGUUCUCGACACAAAACAAUACAACACGUCAGAUGUACUAAUAUCGUCUUAGGACAUGUCUGAUACUUCUCUCUAUUUUACCGUCUUAAUAAGUGUUUAGCUCUCAUGUAUUCACUCCCUUACUAUACACCAUUUUCCCGUGAGGUUCCCAAUCAGACAAAUCCAAACAAAGACAAAUCACAUAUAUGGAUCACCUAAUGAAUAUCGGACAUGUAUUGUCUCGCCAAUUUUAGAGGGACGAAACGGUUAUCAACAGAUAGAUGUUAGAUCGAGUAUCUUGAGUUUGAAUCCGAAAUGGUUGGUCUUUGACAUGAGAGUUGUUGCCCCAAUUUGUUUGGCAAUUUGAGAGUAAUGUUCAAAUACAAUGCACAAAUUGAGACAAAACCUAAAAUGCCAACCAACUAGUUGGGAUCUCAAUACCCACAUUAAUUUAAGGCUAAUUAAAUCACUCUUCACUUCUCUUUCCCACCGUCCAAUAUUGAAUGCCAUUAAAAAAUAUUCAGGCAGUCGGCUUAAGCCCGAAUAUUGGGCCAAGAGGCCCAACUCAGCCGCACAAACGAUCCAGUUAUUAUACAGUUACUCUGUAUCAUUUUCUUUCCCUCUUGAAAUCCCACAUCAAUUUCAACAAUUCGUCGUCUUCUUCCUCAUCGAUCUUUCUCAAGAACUAAAGAACCAAACUCAAAGCUCACUCAGUCGCCGUAACAAUGGAGUCAUUCUUCCAGAGAUGGAAAGCGACUAUCUACUUCUCAAUAUCUACAGUCCUAGCCUUCACCGCCUUCUCCAUAGGACUCCACUCGACCGUCACUCCACUCCACCACCCGUCACCUCCUUCCUUUGUUCCUUCCCUCCCACCGCUGGCGGCGAAUAUCCGCAGCCUCUCCACCAACGCCACGCUCUAUCUCCAAAAAUCUGGAUUCUCAGUCGCAGAAUCCCUCCUACUGGCAUACCCUGAGACAUUCUUCUCCACCGCACACUCCACCAUCUUCGCUGUCAAAGACUCCAUCUUGUCCCCCGCCGACGCCGCAUCUCCGUCCUCUGGCGCCUCCGGCGCUCCCCGGUUGCUUCUGAAGCAGCUCCUUCUGUACCAUACGUCUCCUCUCAGCCUCCCCAUGUCGGAGAUUCUCAAACUCCCUCCUGGUACGUGCCUCCCGACUCUUGUCGACGGCAAGACCCUAGUCGUCACCAAGAUCGACGUCGAGAACCGAGCCGCAGAGAUCAACGGCGUCAAGAUUUCCCAUCCGGACGUCAUCAUUGAAGGUUCGGUUGUCAUCCACGGCGUCCGCGAGCAAUUCUCGUCCAUGGAAACCGGCGACGGCAGCGGUCUUAUCUCUCCAACCACUUGCGACGCCGCCGCUGGGAGGAACUCGAGCUUACUCACGGACUCCGUCGACUUCAGGAAUAUCGUCCACUGGUCCAAGAUCGUGCGAUCACUCAGCUUAAAGGGGUUCGUCUCAUUCGCCGUCGGAUUGAACUCUGUACUCGACGGGAUUCGCAAAGACUACAAGGACUUGAAAUCGGUGACCGUAUUCAGUCCACCGGAUUUCUCCGUCGGUUCUUCUUCCGCUCCGAUGAUGGACAGAGUCGUCAGAAUUCACAUCGUGCCACGGAGGAUUUCCUACGAAGAGCUCAUGAACUUAACCAACACGACGUCGUCUCUGAAGACUCUGCUGUCUGGUCAUAAUCUGGAGGUGAAACUUGAGCCAGCGAAGAAUAAUGCUACAGCACGAUUGACCGUCAAUGCAGUCGAGAUUCUCAGGCCUGAGAUUUUCAAGUCUGAUAAGUUCGUUGUCCAUGCGAUCUCGAAACCUCUCUGGAUCGGUAAGGUUUCGAAGAAGAAAUCUAGUAGUUAGUAGCUAUGAACGAAGAAGAAAUCUAGUAGUUAGUAGCUAUGAACGAAGAACAAUCUGCUGUAGAUUGUAGAAAGUAGUCCCAUUUUCUGAACUAACCUCAGUGUUAAGCUGCUAAUCUUCUUCUGUUAUGAAGAUGACUGUAAGUGGCUUGCUAGUUGCUAGUAUGAUCAGAUACAAAGAUGUUUCAAUCUGUUGCAAAUAGCCAUCUCAACUGGCAUUUCCUAAUUCAACUAGGAUCCACUAAAAUGCAGCAAACACUCCGAAUCCAACUUUUUCUGAUUAGUAUAUGUACUAUGCAGUAUCAAAUGAACAUUGCACUGGCGAAACACCAUCCUCUACGUUUGAAACUAUCAAUGGUGAGCAUGCUUCAAUCUCUAGUUACACUAUAGGAUAUGCAUCUGCUGCAUCAAACAGAUUUAGAGCUGUAGUUCUUUUGCUAGCAAGUAGUUCAGUCAUCAGCUAAGAGUAUUUAAUCAUGAACAUUCAGUAGAGGUCCACUAAGUUCUAUCAGAUAAACCAAUUACAUAAUUAUCCUAACUGUUCAAUGUUCAUCACAAAUCAUGCUAUACAAACUAACAUAUAUGGAAGAAGCUGAGCAAUUACCAGCAGAGGAAAAAGGACUUCACGAAGUAGAAGAAUCGUUGAUGACUCUCAAGAGAAUUCUGGUCAUCUUCUUUCCAAUCAGUGUAACAUUCUUCACAUCGACGAAUUUGGACCUCUGAAACAGUCCAACAACAUCAUCCACAGUCUCCUUCCCACACUCUUCCACGGCGACAACGCAGUACCCACGGCUAACCACUGUCCUCUCCAUCUCGGAAACGAAUCUCCGCGGAAACAACGCCUCCGCCAAACGAGCAGUGAAGGCAAUGUCGAAAACGUCGUCGAAGAACGGCAAGUUCAUCGGAUCUGCCUUUCUCACCAGCGGCAGGGACUCGACGAGCUCGACUCCGAUCACGUCCUCCACUCCGAUUUGUUGCAGCGCCAUUACCUCGUGGCCGGCGCCGGCGGCGAGGCAGAGGAAUCGGGAGUGGUUGUGUAUAAGCUCCGAGGAUUGGAGAUCGGAGAAGAAUUUGGUGAAGGAAGUGAGCUGAGAGGUCCAGGCUUUGGAGGACCAUAGGCGGAGAUUCUUCUUCUCCCGGGAGAGGUACGGACGGUGGAGGGAGGAGUCGCAGGUGGAGGAAGGGAAUCUCUGGUGAGGCUUUGUGAUUGGGGUUUCCGGCGGCAUGCAGGUUUCGGGGAUUUGGAGGUAGGUGAUAAGGAGGGUUAGGGUCGCGAUUGCAAUGCUAGCGAUUGAGACCCUGUUGAGCAAACUCUCUAUGCGUUUCUCCAUGGAUUGUUUGGAGGGGGGUGGAUCGGAGGAGUUGUUUAUUUCGCCAUUGAUGACAUUUGAGGAGGACCAAUGCUAAGGUGGCAAUGAUAUGGGAAAAACGCAGAAACCUAUAGAAACGCAUCGAAACGUCUCGGAUUUGCGGGACGAAACCCGAAACGCCACAGCGGAGGGCGGGCUGAGUCUGAAAUUCUAAACUUCGCAAUGAUAAGGUUGGGGAUGCUUAUAUUAUAUCCAUUACCCAUCCACUUUUUUUUUUGCUGUUAUUAACUAUAACCAUCUCCAUUUUCAUUUUGAUGAUAGAUUUAGUUUUAUCAUCAUAUCCACUUGGUUACGAUUAUAAUCGCUUCCAACUAUUAUUCACGGUUAUGUAAAAAAAAAUAUAAAAUAUAAAUAAAAAUGCAUACACAUUCAUUCAUAUAAAAAAUCCAAUUCGAAACCAGAAAUGACAUUUGAUAAAAUUAACUACGACAUUCAUGAUUAAUUUAUGGGCUUCACCAUUUGAAAUGUUAGUGGACAUUACGUAUCACCAUUACUGCUAAUUAUGUGGGUGUUAUUGGGAUGGACGAUAAAUAUUAUUAGGUUUCAUCUAUUUUUUAAUGCGGGUAAAUAAAGGUUAAGUUGCGGGUCGGUGAUGGUUAUGGGUUUGGUUAUGGUGAUGGUGCGGUUACUAUGAAAUCCAUAACCUAAUCUUACCCAUUUUUAGCGGUUAACAAUUAUGACCGUAAUCACCAAAUACCCAAUCAACGUGAUGAAUAACCGUCAAACUUGGUCAAGUUACGAUCUGUUGAACGAUUAAGCGUGAAGAUUGUAAAAACUAAGAAAUCCUCAAAAUGAAAAAAAAAUGAAAAAAAUGUAAAAUGUUUCGGAUUCACCCAACCAAAUUUAAAACGCAAAAGAUUGACGAAAAAGAGAUAUUUCCAAUACGUAUUAUAUGGGGUAUGUCGUGGUAUAUAUUGACUUUUUAACGAUACUUUGAUUCGGGCUGUAUUUUUCUAUAAUUCAUUAAUUUUAAAUCAGGGAUUAUAAUUUGUCCGUGGGCUGUGCGGGUCUGGCCCAAAAUUUCGCGGCAAAAUCUAAUUUGGGUCCGCCGAAAUUUCAAAGAGCUUCAAAACGCGGCUCGGAGCUGAGUCCAACCCAAACAACCUUUUAAAAAAAGAAACCGACUUUCAAAACGACAUAAUUUAAAGAGACAGAGAGAGCGAGGCAUACGGCGGCGGUGGUGCCGGCGAGCUGGAGCUGAACGGAGGAGAUGAUCUGAGGGAGCUAGCUGGCCGCCUUGCCCUUGUGCUUGAACAUGUUGGGAGGCUGCAGAAGCUGGUUGCAUAUCGGUCGGCAGAAAAGGGCCCAGAGAGACUUCCCUUUGCUAAAUCUAUAGCUUGUCUGGCUUUUUGGUGGGCUAUCAGAUUGACGGAAGAGGAUUUACAGAGAGCAAUUCAUGGAAUUGCAUUGCAGCGACGCAAAGGAGAUAAUUGGGAGAUUUGGAAAUCCAGUCCAGAAAUACUCUACAGAAGCAGAACAAGGAUCGGAAAUCAGAAUCAAAGGGACGAUGGCUAAAUCGUUCAAGUAUGAACAUUCUACAGAACCGAUUCGGAUUGCGAUUCUUGGUCGGAGUCGGGCCGAUUGGUAAAAACACGGUUAAGCAAGUGUGCAACUCUUAACAUGGUUAAUCCAAUCCCUUCUAUUAUCAUAGAAAAACAUUAUAUAUACAGUGACCAUCUGUAGUUUCUUUCUUGCAGCAUCGUUAUGACUAUCUAUUUUCGGUCUACGCUACAAUAUAAUUCGAGAUAAGCACACAGCUCGGAAGUUUUCUCUCACUGUUUCGGAAGGUACAACCUUUUUUAUAUUUCGAUUCUUGUCAACGGCGCCUCGCAAUUUCGCCAACUCGCAGGAUUGCUCGGUUAUCAGCUUGUACGUCGAGGCUCUUUCCCACGGUACGAUGCCGAAAUCGUCGUUUGCUGUCUUCCAUGUGGUCGACAAAGAGCUGCCACAUCAAGGCACCUGCACCAGAGUGCUUUCUCUUUGAGGAUUUUAUAUGAUGUCGUAUAUGGUCUUGUAGAGCCAGUUCGCGCUGGGACGGCUGGAAGUCCUUGUUGAUGUUGUAGAGCCCGAAUUCGGUGAAGAGAACCGGCUUGUUUAGCUCUUUGUGGCUGUCUUCGAUGUGCGACCGCAUCCACUUGGAGACGAAUGUCAGUUUUUCUUCGAAUGAUUGAUGAGCAGCCCUAAAAGCCAGAAAGUUCAAAUAAGCAUUACGUGUGUUACAAGUUAAUAAGUUAUGACAGUAUAUACAGCUAUUUUAGCUCAUCCUUCCCACUUGCAUUGCCACCUAACUGUAUAAGUUCCCGAGUAUCAUGCAUGGCAUGUAUCUGUGCCAGUUUCUGUCCAUCCAGAUGGAAACCGGACCAUCAUUAGCUAGCAAAUCAACAGUUUCAUACAUACUGGGGAAUGCUAAACUCACUUUACCAUCAGAAGAAGAAGAAAAACAGAGCAAAGCAGAAACAGAGAGACUAAUAAUGGCGAACAGUCACCAACUGAAACUCCUCCAUAGUUUCCAAGUUCCCCCAUCACCUCCAACUUCCACCGCCGUCCUCCCACUGGCGUGUCUCGACUACCCAUGGCUAUUCUGCAAGCCGAUGCAGCGCCUCUUCCUGUACGAUUUCCCUCACCCAACUCAUCCUUUCACUCAGACCAUCCUCCGGGAGCUUCAACGAUCACUCUCCGCGGCGCUUCACUACUUCUUCCCUCUUGCCUGAAAACUCGUCUCCCCUCCGCCGCCUUACCUCCCUUACCUUUCCUUCUCCGACGGCGACUCUGUUCCUCUCAUCGUGGCAGAGUCGACGGCUGACUUUGAUCGGCUAAUCGGGAAUCAGCCGAUAAAGCCCACAUUUUCCGGGGAGAGGGAUCUCCGUUGGCGCCCAAUUCGCCCACGUCGUCUCCGACGAAGUGUCGUUUCAUCACGUUUUGAAAAUGUGGGCUUUUCUUUGCAAGAACACAUCAUCGGAGGAUUUGGCUGAGGCUCUUCCGUUGCCGUCUCACGAGAGGGAAAGGGAAAUCAUCCGGCGAGCUUAUCCGGGUCUCGAAGCGGCCCUCGCCAGCCAGUGGUUCGGACUCGGGUCGGGUUGGGACUUUGAUUCCGGUCGAGCUGAUAUCUUAACCGGAAGCGAUAAGGUUCGGUUGACUCUCGUGAUAACCCGGCCGAUGAUCGAACGGAUAAAACUGUGGAUCCGGGGAACCAAUCCAACACUAUUUCAUUUAUCUGCUUUCGUGGUGACGUCAUCUCUGGUCUGGACUCUACUCAUCAAAUCCGUAGCGAUCGGAGAGGAAUUCGACGGUCCGGAAACGCUCUACCACCUCAAUUUCGUCGCCGACUGCCGGCGCUGGUUAGGACUGGACGGAUUAUCACCAUCCUACUUCGGGAACUGCCUAGCACAUUAUUACGUGUCGAUGAAAAGAGGAGAGGCGGCGACGGAGGAAGCGAUUCGGGAGAAGGUGGGAGAGAUGACCGACGGCGGCGGCGGAGGGGUGUUGUUGACGGGGGCGGAGAGGUGGGUGCCGAAGUGGAAUGAGCUGGGGGAAGGAGGGAGGAUGGUUACGAUAGCUGGGUCGCCGAAAUUGAGAGCUUACGAGACGGAUUUCGGGUGAGGGAAGCCGAGGAAGAGCGAGGUGGUUCAUUUGGCCGACGGCAAGGGGAUUAUAGCGCUGGGCGAUAGCGGAGAUGGUUGCGGCGGCGUUGAGGUCGGGUUUGCUAGGGAGAGGAGUGAGAUGGAGGUUUUCAGCGGGUUGUUUCAAGAGUUUCUCGGCCAAGUUUGAACGAUUCGGCGUCGUUUAACUCUUUGUCUGGUCAGAAUAAUGGUGGACUAAUAAGUACUAGUUGAAAUUUAAAAAAUAGUCGGUAAUUAAAUGGUUAACAUUGAGUAUAUUUAUUGAGAAGGUAAUUUGAUUGUUGGUUACAUAUUUGAUUUUGGUUACAAUUUAUUAUUUGGAUUUCAUUUUAUCUCUUUUAGUGAUCCUACAUUGUAUUUGUUGUAUAAUUUUUUUGGAAUUUCUUAAACUCGUUUGAAUAUAAAUGAAAGAUAAGAAUUGUUGUGCCUAGACUUACGAAAAAAACACAAAUUCAUUCAAUCAUUCCUGAACCAAAUUAAACCGAACUUUACUAUAUUCAAACUUUACUGGUUACUUUUAAAAUCGAACAAAACCAAAACCAAAUCGAUUUAAAUCACAUACAAACCUUUCUCAAACCGAACGAUGAGUUAAUCACAAACGGCUUGACUCGUCAAUAUCCUAAUAUUCAUUAUCCAAACAUCAAAUGGUAAAAGCAUUUAUUAGUGAUGAAAUAGUAACAUAAUAAAGUUGCAAUAUAAGGACUAAACCGAGAUAAUACAAAAUACCGUUGAUGAUUAAUUGGGGGUACGGAAACUUUGAUUGCUCAAAAUGUAAAUACUGCAAACUUUUUUUUGAGAACUUUUAAUUGAAAGCUCUAAAAACCCUACAACCUCGCCGUCCGGAGUUGGAGCAGAGACGAAACGAUUCAGAGAUGGGCAGCGGAAGAAGAUUAAGCAGAGGCGGCGGUAAUGGCGGACGGAGGAACCAAUCACAGCUCAGGCAAGACGUGGAAGCGUGCCGGAAGAAAGACUCCACCGCCGACGAUAUCGUCCAACUUCUCCGCCAGCAGUCCCCCAUCUACGGCCGGAUGAAACAGCAAGUCCUAGCUAGAAACGUCCGCCAAAUCAUCGAACCUCCACCGUCACAGUUCCGUAAGAAAAUCCGGAGACCUUCGGAAGAAGAAGAGGAGGAAGAAGACGAUUAUGACGAAGGACGAUCUUCCGUCCGUCUUAAAAAGAAGAAGAGGACCCGUGAGAGCGAGGAAGAGUUGCAGCUGCAGGAGAAGGAGGAUAAGCGUUUGAGAAAAUAUAGCGCCAAUCGAUCUUCGGAGUCGGACUCGUCAGAAUCUGAUUCGAAUUCGGAGUCGGAUUCUCAAUCGACGCCGUCUUCCACGUCGGAGGAUGGAGAGCCUGUGUUCGACGUGACUAAGUCGUUGCUGCGACAAAGUUACACGCCGGAGAAGAACGUUGAGGUGGAGCUAGCCAGUAGUUCCAAGGAUAAGGUGGCGAUGCUGAAUGGAAGCAAUGGAGGUAAAGGUAAAGGAGGGGAAAGGGUUAGGAAAUCGGAAGGUAAAGCCUUGAGCAGCGAUAGCAUUGAGGUUAAGGGUGGUAAAGAAGGGCCGAGGUUCAAGGAUUUUGGAGGGUUGAAGACAGUGCUGCACGAAUUGGAGACUGAAGUGUUGAUGCCACUUUACCAUCCACAGCUGUUGCAACGCCUUGGUGUGAGGCCAGUUAGUGGGAUUUUGCUUCAUGGUCCGCCAGGUUGUGGGAAGACUAAACUGGCUCACGCCAUUGCUAAUGAGACUGGAGUUCCUUUCUACAAGAUUUCAGCUACUGAGGCUGUCUCUGGAGUGUCAGGUAUUGAUUUCCAGCUUAUCCUCUUUGCUUCCUUACUGAAUUGAUGUUAUUGAGUUUCGGAUAGACUAUAGGUGAAGUAUCGUGCUAUGUUUAAGCUGGUUGAAUUGUGAAUUAUGAAUGGGCAGGUGCGUCGGAGGAGUAUAUUAGAGAGCUUUUCUCCAAAGCAUAUAGGACAGCACCUUCGAUCAUUUUCAUUGACGAAAUCGAUGCCAUUGGUUCCAAGAGGGAAAAUCUACAGAGAGAGAUGGAGCGAAGAAUCGUGACACAGUUGAUGACUUGCAUGGACGAAUACCAUAAACUUGUGGAACCAGCUGAUGAUAAUUCUAAGUCUAAGUCAGACAGCUCUGAGCAGCGAGGUGGGUAUGUUCUGGUAAUUGCAGCUACUAACAGGCCUGAUUCCAUUGAUUCUGCUCUAAGAAGGCCGGGAAGAUUUGAUCGGGAAAUUAUGUUGGGUGUCCCGGACAAGGAUGCCAGGGUUCACAUUCUUUCGGUGCUUACCAGAAAAUGCACGCUCGAGGGUUCAUUGGAUCUUUCGCAUAUAGCUAGACUUACCCCUGGAUUUGUCGGUGCUGAUUUAGACGCCCUAUGUAGCAAAGCAGGAAACCUCGCCUUGUGGAGGAUUGCUGCAUCGAGGAGAUCCACGUUAUUAUCUGAAGAACUUUCAUUACCUGCAGAACUUAGGGAGGACCAAUGUAUGGACUGGUGGAAAACACCUUGGUCAGCCGAGGAGAUUGAAAAGCUUGCCAUCACAAUGGCUGAUUUUGAGGUAUGGACAUUGUGGAGCUAGAUGUUAUUUAUUCUUUCCUUAUUAACUUCUAUUUCUGCUGCCUAUCUUUACUGGGUUUCUCUCCUCUGCAGCAAGCAGCUAAGUUGGUUCAACCAUCAUUAACAAGAGAAGGAUUCUCUUCUAUUCCCAAUGUAACUUGGGAAGAUGUUGGAGGACUUCAAAGCAUUAGAAAUGAGUUGGAGAGUUAUGUAGUCCAGUGCAUUAAAAAUCCAAUACUCUAUCAGGUAUACUUGACAGUGCCACACUCCCUAUAACUUCUUAUCGACUGCUAAGCUUGUUAAUAGUAGGUUUUGAGGUCAAAGCUUUGUAAUGUUUAACUUCAAAGAAUCGUUAUCUCAAAUGGCUCACUAACAUCAUGGUAUGAUGAUUAUAGCAUUUUGGAGUGUCCUCAAAGACCGGGAUUUUGCUUUUCGGCCCUCCUGGCUGUGGCAAGACACUGAUUGCCAAGGCUGCCGCUAAUGAAGCAGGUGCUAACUUUAUUCACGUCAAGGUUAGUAAUAACUCCGUAGUUCUUUCAGCUCAUUUGGUAGUAUAGUUUUUGUUCAAUUGGAAUAGUUGAAACUUACUGUUUCCUAUUUCGUGUUUGUAUAGGGUCCAGAGCUACUUAAUAAGUACGUUGGAGAAAGUGAGCUGGCAGUUCGAAAUCUAUUUACCCGUGCAAGGCAUUGCUUACCUUGUAUUAUCUUCAUCGACGAGGUAUGAAGAUUUUCUUUUCCAUUAUGUGAUCUAAGACAUGGAUGAUUAAAGAAAGUACCAUGUUCCAUUCGUGUUUCCUGUAGGUGGAUGCCUUGACGACAACCCGUGGGAGAGAAGGCGGAUGGGUUGUCGAACGGCCAUUAAACCAGUUGCUUAUAGAGCUGGACGGUGCAGACCAGCGGCAAGGUGUUUUCGUGAUUGGUGCAACCAACAGGCCUGAAGUUAUGGACUCGGCUAUCCUGAGGCCUGGCAGGUUAGGCAACCACGUUCUAGUUCCUCUCCCAAGUGCCGAGGAUCGCGGCCUGAUCUUGAAGGCUCUCGCUAGGGGGAAGCCUCUCGAUCCGAGCGUAGACUUAGCUGCGAUAGGAAAGAUGGAAGCUUGCGAAAAGUUAAGCGGGGCGGAUCUCAACAAGCUGGUUCGUUUUUCGCACUCUUCUUUAUUCGUACCGUUAUUCCCUGGGAUGAGGUGUUAUAUAUAACUUAUGUAACUUCAAAAUUUUUAUGGCCAGAUGGAAGAUGCUGCGAUGAUAGCUCUUCAGGAGGCGAUGAAAAUGGGGAGUACAGACGAGGAGAUGAUGUCGCUCUGCAGAAUCAAAAUGAGUCAUCUCGAGCAGGCGCUGAAGCAGACCUCACCGUCCGUUACUAGCAUGGUAAACAUACUAUGAUUCACAUCUUAAAAUACCAUUCCCCUUCAAUUUGUUAACGUCUCAUCAAGUCUUCAUUCUGGAUUGUGUUGCAGCAAGUUAAGUUCUACGAGACCUGGUCGAAACAAUUCAGUGGAAGAUCGUAGCCUCUCGACUAGGGAUUGGUACUUCUUCUUCUUUUCGUUGUGCAGUAUAUGUUUCAUGGAAAUGCUAACGAUCUCCACCUCGUACCGGUGAUUCACGUUCGAGUGAGCAAAAUUUUGGCCGUUGAACGUUUCUGCAACCUAGUUCUUCCCUCUGGACUCGAGUAAUACGUCGUCGUUGUUCCUUUUAAUCUUCCUUAAACCAAUAAGUUCACAUUGAUGUGGAAAAAUUUGUGUUGUUGUGACAUUAAACUGUUUAUUAUCUUUGUUAAGUUUCGAAAGAAUCUUCGUCUUGUCUUCUUAACUUCUUUGCAUCGUUUCAAUUUGAUCGGAUGUCUCAAGGGACAUGAAUAUUGGCCUUGUGGAUAAUUGUGAUUGCUUUUAAUCAUAAAUACAUCCCCAGUUCAAAAAAUAUGGGUCGGAAUUGGUUAGAAUACUGAUCGUAAAUGUGUUGCUAUCGCCUAUUUCGUCAAUUGAAUUGGAUCAUAUUCAACCUUACACUGACAAUUUUCCAAAACUUGAGUUUAAACUGUUCUUUCAAGAAUAUUUGAUAAAAUUGAAGCGAUACAGAAAAAAUCAACAUGCUCUGUGCACAAGGAUAAUAUAUAUAGAUCGUGAGUUGGAACAUUUAAUCCAAUCAUCCAAAUUGGACUACAAAUCGAUUACCAUAACUAAUUUCGAAUUUGAUCCUACGAACGAACUUCCCGCCAUACUAUACAGACUUCUCGUCGUUGACCACCAGUUUUUCUCCUAAACAAUAUUUUGACUUUUUAAAUUUUUCACAUUUUAGUCUCCUCCCCCGAUAAAGAUUCAUAAUCGCAAUUUUUUUUUCAAUUUAGUAUUCGUUUUCCCGAUCCGCCUCCGUACAAAAUACGGUAAUGAAGCAGAAAACUCGACAACAAACUGGAGAGAAAUCCUCGUUGAAUCUUUCAAACAACCCAACAAACACAAAAGAAAUCACAAUCAAUGGAUCGAAUUCCCACAAAAGAAUCCAUCUUUCUUCCUCUCCGAUGGAAACCCGAUCAGCCAAACGGAAAAAGGCAGCAAAUUUGCUUCGCCGCCGCCGACUCUACCGAUGAAACACAGCGUAUCGACAUGAUCACCGACCACCCCGACGCCAUCCUCCACCACAUCUUGUCUUACCUCCCGAUCAAAUCCAUCGCCCAAACCUCCAACCUCUCCAAACGAUGGCGGAUACUCUGGUACUCCUUCCCGGAUCUCGAUUUUACCGCCACCGCCGCCGGGACGAUUCCAGACUGGAUACGGAUAAAAAAAGCAUGCCGGAAAGCUAUAAACUGUUAAAUUAAUCAGGAUUAAUCCAACGGAUAAGAUUAAAUUACUCAAACAUAGGUGAUUUGUGUGAUGGGCCCAAUUUCUUUUGACAAGAAGAGAUUGUUCUCAUUAAUUAGUACUCAAUAGAGUGUCAAGUACAUCAUUAAGCUAGUUUGGAGGUACUACAUCCACAAUACGUACAAAAUCGGGAAAAAAAUUACCAACGUAUUUAAUUAGUAGACUACACAUGCGUACAAUACCACCGAAGUCUGUAUCGGGCACAAUUAAUAGCACUAAACCGUCAUGAAUGGUAAAUUUCGUGAUUUUUUCUGUUUAUAUAUUCGGUUUCUUAAGAUGAUUAACGGAUAAGGUGGACCACCAACAAGUGUGAUGUGAUUCGUGAAGUAGACACUGGGCUUACACUAUUCAGGCCUAAAUGUAUCUCAUGGAUUGGGCUCAACUCGUUCUCUCUGAUAAGCCCACAUAUCAGUUAAUCAGUGGACCAUUGUUUGAGACCAGGGGCCCAUUUGGGUAACUUGGGACUGAAGCAACUUGACACAACCCUAGAGUUCAGCAGCUCAACCAAUGGUCCAUGCUGCUUCACACACCUUGGAGUCUUGUACUGAUUAAUGGAAGCACCUAAUUGGCUGAUGGCAUAGUCCAUGACUUUGUCAAACGUUCCAUUCUCAACCACCCUUAUUUCCAGCGGACCGAUGGAGUUGUCCGAAACUCGGCCCUGCCUGUAAACGCUGUUCAGGGAUUCCUCGACCUCGAGGCAACAUUCCUCGAGAACUGAAUCCCGAGGAGCUUUGUGCUUCGUCGACUCGUCGUUGUUGUCAAUCUCCCAGUACAUGACGUAAUGUCCAGGAAUCGACGAUGUCUCCGCGUAGCUUGUGUAUUCGACGAGAGAUGCGUUUAGUGGCGAGAGGUGUUUGGUUGCAGCUUUCGUCACCGCUUCUUGCAGCUCCACUUCGUUGGUCUUGUCAGAAUCGAUGCUUAGAACGACGUUCUUCCUGCAUACGAAUGUGAAUUGUGGCGCCUUGUUCUUGAACCCCGCGACUCUGAGAAUGUCUCCCACUCUAUACCGAUACAAACCUUUUUGAAAAAAAUUAAAGUAUAAAUGUCAUCACCACAUUAUAUCAACCAGUACAUUUCAAUAACUCGAGUAUUAAUAAAAAAUAUAUGCAAUUAACUCCUCUAUUACCUGCAUAAGUCGUGACAACGAGUUCGUACUCUUUACCAAGCUGAACAUUGACCAGAUCAACCAACCGGUCUUGUGUGCUAUCAUUGCCAUUCAUCAUUAACGAACUGGUACUAAAUCCAACGGUUCGGUCAACGGGUAAGAACUCAAAAUAAGCCAUGGUCGGAACAAGUGUGUAGGAUACUUCACUAGGCUUACACAAAGGAUUCAAGUUAAGCCCAAAGUAACACUCAGAGGAAGCAUACAUGGAGCAAACAAGUGGCAAACCAUCCCCAUAAUGCUCAAGUGUAGGGAUGUAUUGUGACAUUGCUCCAGUCACAAUCACAUCAAUGUACUUAGCAUUAGGCCAAACCCUAGCAAUAAUCCCUCUCCAAGACACUUCCCUCCUACAUUCCCCUUCCACGAAAUCGGCAAGUUCAGGGUUCGGCCCCACCAGAACCCUAGACACGGCCGAUCUGACUCCAGGGUCAAUAAUAACCCCGGAGUCAACGGUCCCACUCCUGAUGUCAUUGCACAAAACCUGCCAAUUCUUUUCGAAAAACUUGAUCGCCCGGAUAAACCCGGAUGCAAAAACCGACCCGACUCGGACCACUUCCAUGUUUCGAGCCAGGCCGCAGAGCAGCUGGGAGUACAUGCUCUGGUGAGAGUCCGGGCAGAGGAUCGAUUCCGUCGGGCUCGUGUAGUUGGUGUAGGAAUCUUCCGAAGACCGAAUCGAGUUGGCGAAAUGCUGGCUCUUGUAGUAGCUGGUUAGAACCGGGCGAGCAGGUAAACCGGCUGGAGUUAUGGAUUCUGAUUUGACGAAGAGGAAGUACAUUCCUUUGCCGGCGGUGGAUAAACCAGGGAGGAAUUGGUUCAUAACCGGCAUUAGUAAGCUGUAGAGCUGUGAUUUCCUCUCCAUCUCUUCGUUGAUCGUCGGCAUCAGCUUCCUCUCCCCCGCCGACGUCCCUGAACUGCAAGAUUUAAUAAAUGAUUCACCAUUUAAUAUUUGAUAGAAAUAUUUUUCAUUCAAGUUCGACUUGAUGCAUGUUUGAAUCUUGGUUAAGCCUAUGCAUAUACCUGGUCAAGAAUUCGGAGAUGGGUCUGGAGCAGAGGAUGGGAGAAGUGUCACCAUUGGCGAUUCGGUCGAUAUCCGGCUUGAUAUCCUCGUACGUGACUAGAGGAAUCAGCUUCUUGAAAGUGGCCUUGUCGAUGAUGCUUCCAUGCCUUUGCAAGUACUCAACGCCGGAGUUUCUGGCGAGGAUUUCGGCGAGGACUCGAGUCUGGACUUCAUCGGCAUUGUUAGUGACUUGCUCGAUGAACUCUAGGGCUCUUUUGUUCUUAUGAUCAGAAGGGUUGCGUUCAUUAGUUGACGAAUUACCUUCAGCCAUGGCUGCUGGUUGGAAGAGUAGAAAGUGGUUGGAAAUGAUGUGUGUUUGGGAUGCAGAGCACUCUGAAUGUUGGUAUAUAUAGAGACAAUUUUGUUAUCAUAUAUAUUAAAUUAAUUGAUUCGGUUAGAUCAAAGUUCGAACCGAAAUUUCACCAUGAACAAUCUGAAUUGGCGUCUAAAAUUAAUUGUGGAUUAUCUCUCAAUAAUUUAAUUUGUGGAUGUAAAGAACUGUUAUAUUUUAAUAAUUCGAAUUAUUAAAAAAGAGUUAAUGAUGAAGGUUAUCCCAUUUUUUAACCAUCGAAACACAUGCAAUAAGCAUUUGGUUUGACAAAAUGCUACCAUCUCAAAUUCUGAUAGCCAUAAUCUGUUGCACAAUACUUACACCAUGUCAACCUCAGACUUUUUUUAGAAUUUCCAUUUAUGGGGCGUGUUAAUGAAUAAUAUAAUAUCAAAGUUGGGCCAUUUCACAAUAAUGUAUUCGAAUUAUUAGGAUACACAAUAAUUUAUAAUCAUCGAUUGGUUAUAAAUUUAAUACCAUACUCUUUAUAAAAAAAACAAAUUAAUAUCAUACAUAUCAUAUGUGUAAUUUAAUUUAUCGAGUUGAACCAUUUUGAAUUGGCUAGACCCACUACAAAUGUGAUUUUUUUUAAAAACAAGAUGUAACAAUUAUCGAUAUAUAUACUAACUAGCUAGCUAGCAAAAUGAGGAUCCCAAAACCCACUUUUUGAGGGAUUAGAUUAGCUAACAAUAAUUAAUAAUAUUGUGUACAGCUUUGAGGGAAGAUUUUGGGAAACCAAAUCAACAUAUAUAAGAAGCUCUAUAAGAAUACAAAUAUAUAAUUGGGGGGACCUUUUUGCAAUUUUUAAUAGUUAUAGUUCAAACUUUCAUGAAUCAUGAUUCGAAAAAUAUAGUGUGUGGAAAUCACAUAAAUUUCGUCAUUUUUUGAUUAUAUUUGCGUGUUUUUUAUAGUGUCUCCUAAAAAAUAACUUAUAUAAUUAUCUUAUAGUAUUUCGGGUUCGAGUUCGCUAUACAAGAGUUUCUGGGUUUCCUUGCAAAUUUGUAAAAGGUUUAGAUUUCUCUACAACUAAUUGAACGGAGGCGCAAACCGUGUAUCCAAGAAUACCUGAACCGGACACACUAAUCUGACCGACCAGAGCCAUAAUAUCAUUAAAAUAAAACUAACAUCAACUUGCAUAAUCUGUCUCGCAACUUAUUUGUCUUAGAUGAUUAAUCAAUAAUCUUUUGAUGUAACCCGUCAUGUAAAUGCGGGAUUGUGUUUAAUAAAGUUCUUUUCUUAAUUAAAUGGUGUGAUUUAGAUAAUAAUUAUUCAAAAAAGUAGGGGAACUUUGCAGUGUUUCCCACUCCAAUCAUCGCCUAGCCGUUGACUGAAUGUCGCAUUAAACUCCUUUCAUUUGCUGCCAUAUGGCUUUGAUCCAUUUGUUACCCUCCGGACUCCGGAUUCGGUACUAAUGACCUUCUUUUAGCUCUAAAGACCGGCCGAUUCUCUAAGUAUGCAAUGUCGAGGCAUGAUUUUGUCCAAAUCGAUCUUAAUUCGUGAUAUAAGACUUCCAUUCCUCGAUUUUAUAACUCAUGUCUCCUUAACCCGAAAUCAAAUCCAAAGAUUUAGUUUAGAGACUAAGUGCCGCACAUAUAAAAAAAUUUGAAAAGGGGUAGUAGACCACUUUCCUUGUAACAAGUUGCAUGGAAAAAGGGGAUCACGUUUCUUGAACGGGAGAAAUGCAAAUUAGAGUUCUUGUGCUUGAAGAAGCCAUUUUUAAUUAAAUGGUCCCAAGCAACUUCAAUUUGGAAAAAAAAUGGAACACCCAACUUGAACCUUGAGAAUUACAAUAACAACUUAUUAACAAAACCUUGAGUAAUUAAUUCAUCUCUUUCACCAAAACUUUUAAUAAGAUUCCCGCCUUCUCUUCGUAGACUAGUCGAUUUCAAAGUCGAAAAUUACGUUAAUCAUUUAUAUUAUUUCUCAUAUAUUCCAGUGUUAUUCUUCUUUUAUUUCUCGUAUAUUUCGGUGUUAUUCUCCUUUUAUCAAAUAUACCUACAAUGUGUGAAUGAGAUGAGAUAGAAAGCAAGAAACUGUAGAGAAGAGAGAAAAUAAAAUAAAAAAGCCAAAAUAUAUAUUACAUAUAUACAGUGGUUCUACAAACAGAGAUUUACAGAAGAAAACAAAGAAAAAACAGAGCAAUACAUUAUACAUCUCAUCUUGUUGUUUACACUCGUGGGGAGCAAAGACAAGACAUUUGAAACCUCACUUUGUCUAAUUUGCAGUUUCUUCUCUAAUCUCUAUCUAUCUGUGUAUAUAUGUCGGCCAAUAUUUGUGGCGAUUGACCAUUGUUGGGCCGAUCAAUGCUCUGAAGAUAUUUUUAGAACAAUUCGGGGUAUUCUCCUUUCAUUGUUUCUGAAUUCGAAUUCGCAACUUACAUCUUUGAAGAUGGAAUGCAUAAACUUACGAACAAAAAUUCAUCAUAGUGUCAUCCGCAAACAGAAUAUUGGGCCAACUAGGGGUUCUGGUAGUAGGCGACUGCAUGUCAAUCACAAUGAUAAAUGAAGGUUAGGCAUGUUCUAAGGAAAAGAGUCAGACCGAAUUUUAACCCUGGGCGUGGAAGCUAGCUAGAAGAGCGCCCCGUAAAUGUGAUCAUAAAAAAACUAGCUAGUAAGUAGUAACAUGUGAAAUAAGAAGCGGUAUAAAUGUAAGUAACGCAACAUUUAAGUCUAAGUAGAAUAGCGUAAUUGCUAGCGUUGUGUGCCGGUGAUUCAAAAAUAUCGAGUUUGAAUCCAGUUACAUCGAACACCUUUGUAUUUCUUAUCUCGAAAAAAAAAGUAAAGUCUAGAAUCACAUCGGGGAGUUCGUGGAUGGGAAAUGUAACACUGUCGAUGUCGAAAAGUCAGGGAAAUCUCAUAUGUUCGCAGAGAGGGCGUAGUACAACAGUGUACUUAGUCUCAUCAUCGGUGAAAAAAAGAGAUCAUAGCAGCAAAUUGUAGUACGACAAUGCACAUGUUAAAUGUCGUCAACUGCUACGCCAACAUAGCAAAAAUAGGGCCACUGUUAAACGCUUUACUGAGUGAAAACUUUAAUCUGUGGCAUUCCAAUUGUCGGAAGAAAGAACAGAUUUUUCCAUCCAAUCUGUCAGUUCAUGCAUGAAAACUUAUGAUAUUUGUUUGCCAUAAGCAAACAGUUUGAUUAAUUUUCUGUUUGUACAUGGUUUAGUAUUUACUCCUACUCUACCUAGCUACUUCAUCGGUAUAUAGACUAUACGUCUACAACGUCUUCGAUAAACGAUUUUUUUUCUUACAAUAUGUACACCUUAUAGUCUACCGGUAAAGUUGUUACACGUAAAUAAAACAUCAUACACGUAAAGAAAACUAAUCUACCCUAACUAUGUAAUAUAUGGAUUUUGAAACUAUUUGCGAUGAUAUUUAGAGAUUUCGCGACCAAAUAGAUAUCACAAAAUGUAUAUUCACUCACAGAUAAUCAAACAGUAUAGCACACUUCAUCAAGUUAACAAAAUCCCCUCAUGUGGAAUGAAAUACUAAAUUAUAUUUAUCUCCUCCAAUAAUAAACUUAACAAAUAAUUACACAUACCUUUAAACUCACCAAUCAAGCGAUUAUGAUUUCCGAAUCCACCAUAAUUUACACUGAUAUUUUUCCCUCUCCACGGUUGAUCCAGUUUGUGCCACGAUACAAUGCAUUCGGACUUGUGGAAUUAACUUUCUGCAAAUCUAUUCUUGUAUCGAGUUUGGGUGACAUAGUGGGGGGCAGAAGUUACUGUAAUGAUCACUGCAAAAACUACCCACUUCAGUUCAAAGUACAAACAUACGAAAUAGUCAACCGGUAGUAAAAGUUAAUUUUUAGUUUGCUACUUGUUUCAAAUCAACCAAACUAUUGUUCAUGAUGGGUGGAUGAACAUGGAUGGCAUGAAUUUCCAAUGGAAACAGUGAUUUCUAUUGACUAUUUUGUAUUGCUAGGUAGGUAGGAAUUAUACUUAGUUGCAGCUACGUUAUGGAUAGAACAGUUCGUGGCUCAAACAGUUAGGCUUGUCGAUCCAUUGCUCAAAUUAAAUUGUAACAUUUGAAAGUUCUAUAUAUGUGGUUUUCUUUUGAAUUGGUGUGUAAUGAUUUGUAUGGUAACAAUUAAAAAUUUAAACUAAAAUUUUUGUAAUAAAAAAAAUAUUCAACNNNNNNNNNNNNNNNNNNNNNNNNNNNNNNNNNNNNNNNNNNNNNNNNNNNNNNNNNNNNNNNNNNNNNNNNNNNNNNNNNNNNNNNNNNNNNNNNNNNNNNNNNNNNNNNNNNNNNNNNNNNNNNNNNNNNNNNNNNNNNNNNNNNNNNNNNNNNNNNNNNNNNNNNNNNNNNNNNNNNNNNNNNNNNNNNNNNNNNNNNNNNNNNNNNNNNNNNNNNNNNNNNNNNNNNNNNNNNNNNNNNNNNNNNNNNNNNNNNNNNNNNNNNNNNNNNNNNNNNNNNNNNNNNNNNNNNNNNNNNNNNNNNNNNNNNNNNNNNNNNNNNNNNNNNNNNNNNNNNNNNNNNNNNNNNNNNNNNNNNNNNNNNNNNNNNNNNNNNNNNNNNNNNNNNNNNNNNNNNNNNNNNNNNNNNNNNNNNNNNNNNNNNNNNNNNNNNNNNNNNNNNNACAAACCCUAAAUUGCCCACUUUCUUGUACCCCUAAAGCAAAUAAUCCAAAAGUGGGAGGUCCUUUUGGAGGGGUAGGCAAAUUGGAUAAAAUAGUAAUGAUUAUAAUUAUUAUGUGUCCUUUUGUGUAAUCCCCCUUCACUCAUUUAAAUGAAUCUAUGAUAAGUCUUGUCACUUGGAUUAUAUGCAUUAUAAGGGUGGCAUUAAUAACAAUCUAUCCCAAUCCAUCCACAUUUGUGUUACGAAAUUUUCGACCCGACAUGUUCCAUCUAAUUUAACCUAUUUUGAACAAGUAAUAUUUCAUCUGUAACGAAUAUAAUUAUAUAAAUACAGGAAUAAGUAAUACCUUUUUUGACCCAUCCCAUUAUGCCUUGUAUACACUAUUUAUAGUAAAUAUUCAUAAAGAAUACAUGUUACUUAUUUGUUUGUAGUUUUAAAAGUAAUUGUCUUAAUGGAUGCACAUUCUCAUUCCAAUUCACGCAUGGACUAAAAUAUCUUCUCUAAACUCAAUUUUUCAUAGAGCACAUAUGAAUAUUAAGAUACUUUUAUCCGAUUAUGACUCAUUUCAUUACUACAAUGGCUACAUUUUUGCGAUUAUUUUCGAGUGCCCAUCUCAUUUGGGUGUAUAUUAGUUUUGACUAUUUCAGUUUUUAUUUCCUUUUCCUUUGAUGUAUCACUUGUAUUACAUAAAAUUAGAGCUAAGUUGGAUAUAGUUUUUGGUUUGGUUAGUUUAUUUUUUUUUUGGGUGUGAAUGUUAGUUUGAUUAAAUUGAGGUUGGAUUAAAAAAAAUUGUUUAUGCUCAAAUUUUCCUGAAUGGGCUUAGGCCUUUUCCAUUUGACAUAACCGGAUCCGACUGAAGGGCCAAACAAAAAUUGAGCUUACAUGCCCAUAGGGGAGAGCCAACCCAUGAAAAUGUAGGCCCAAGAACCCAUUAGCCUUCUAUACAACUAUACAUACCAUUUAUAAAUUUGCCUUCGGGGCAAAUAGCAUUCUCGGAAAUCGUUAACAGAAUUUUAAUUUUGAAGUGAGUUUGAAAACACACCGGACAAAAUUCAAAAAUACACUGGAAAUUUUUUUUCAAUUUUGCUAAUUGUACAUCGUUUGUCACUUUAAAAUCAUCGUCAGAGAGCCUUGUAAGGAUAUUGGUCUUGAGGCGUAUCAGGCAGAUGGUGAAGCAUUCAUCAAUACUCUCUAACGGCUACCAUGACAUUUGCCUUCUAUAGUGUCUCGCAACCGAAACCAAGGUGUCACGUUCGGACCUCCUAUAGGAUACUUGUAUGUGAAGUAAUAUGUUAUGCCUCUUUAUCCAUAGUGUCCACACACAAACAAUAAAUUAGUACGAUGCACAACUUCCUGGAAGAAGUGAGCUCUUUUAGCCUUUUGCACGAAUUCUAUAACGUGAAAAGGGAGAUUUUUGCAAACUUUCAGAGUAAUUUCAAGUCCACAUGCAAUGUUGAAGUCAUCUUCCUCACACCUUCCUCAUAUAUAUCUUUGCACUUAAUUGCACGCACGUCCUUCUUGUCAUAUUUAUUUCUCUACACUAAAUAUUCAAUGCAUGCACAUCUUUCCCAGCCAUUCUAAUAUUCUAUACACCUCGUGUGUUCUCAUUCUCGAUCGGUUCGGAUAAUGAUCAAUGAAAACUCAAAUCAUAAAUAAUUGUAUGUAUUUGUUACGAUUUCGUGAAAACUGUAUUUAGGCCUAGGGGAACCGCCCCACUUGAAAAAUACAUGAAUGAACCUCGAUUUUGGUAAAAACAAUAUACAAUGCUUCGAUUUGUAAUUUUAUCGCCUCGCAAAAAUAGUUAAUAUCCGAGUCUCACUAUUGAUCAACUCUUUCUACCGAAAAUUAUAUUAUGUUGUAGGAAAAUUAAUCAACUCGGAGAUUGUAAAAUGUCCACAAACAUGAAAUGCAGCUCAACACGAUUUCAAUGGACACAUUUUUCUUUAUUAUUCAACACCAGGCUCACUUUCUUAUAAUAAUCUUUGUGUCAUGCACUACUGGACCGCCAUUGAUUUGAAUAGCUUAUCAUUAUAAUAAAUUCAUUUUUCUUUGAGAUGACUGAUUAAAACUCACAUUAUUUAAAUUUUAGGGUUCCUACUUGGAAAUUUCCCAGAAAACAGAGGAUAAACCUCAAACUAUCCUGUAUGUGAACAUUUAGAAUGACUAAAUCCCCCAACCAGUCUAGUUAAAAACUUUCGACCUCCAGUCAGUCGGCUUUACGAAGAUUCGUCUCCAUACAAACUCGAUCAUCCAUUGACUUUCAAAACAUAAAGAAGUCAUCCUUAGAAGUAAGAUUGAAAAUUUAGCUUAAACCGUGUUCUAAAACCGAAUGAGUCGAGAAAAUGACUAAUCUACCACUUCGCCACAUAUAGACAAAGAAGAAACACUCGAAUUUCCAUCCCAUUGCGAAUUCCACCCAUAUAUUUCCAAUGUCAACAUUUUCCUCCCUUUCCUCUUGAUCAAAUUUUCAAACUUUCCACCAACCAAACAGAGCAAGAAGAACAAGAACAAUAGAGUUAGUCUGAGAGUCAACAAAAGAAUCAAAAUCUGAAUUCAUCUUCAAUAGCUUCUUCAAGCCAGUUCCUGGACUCCCUCAUCAACUCAGGGCUCAAUCUAAACAUCAAAACGCAGAACUCCAUCUGGUUCAAAACGCCGUCACCGUCAAGGUCCCCUUCUUUAACCAUCCCGUCGAGCUCCGCGUCGGACAAGUCCUGCAGGCCCAAAACGGCGGCGUUCCUCUUCAAGCUGGCGGGUGUAAUGACCUUUCUGUCCUUCUCCAUCAGCAACUGGAACCCGUUGCAAAGCUCCUUGAUCAGACCCUCCCCUCCCAGCUUGUCGGCCAUCACUGGUAGCAGGUCCUCGAAGUCCCCUGUUUUCGACGCCAUUGAUGAUGAAGAUCGGAUUUUUAAGAGAAAUGAGAAGUUGAUUUGGGUUUUGUGAAUUGGGUUUGGAGAAUUGAGGGGGAAUUUGGGUGUUUGUUAUAUAGUGGGGGAGGAAGAAGGGAGGAAGAAGAGAGGAAAUUGGGAGAAAUUUUGAAGGACAGGGACUGGUUUUUGAGCAGCAGAGGAAGUAAAUGAGCUGGUCGGGUUUUUUGUUUUUUAAUGGGUUGGAUUCUUUUCUCGAAGGAAAGAGUGGAAGAAGCAGCAGGGAGGGCAUUUAGGGGAAUUUGAUGUCGAUUUACGGUGACAAUCACUAAAUUGUAUCGUAGUUUAUGUAUGGUCAUCAAUACAUUUUUUGACGAUAAAUCAACAUCCAGGACACAAUCAUGUGGAUGAGCCAUCACAGAUUCUAAGGUUCUAUAAAAGAUGUGUUGAGUGGCAGUUGAUCAAUUAUCAUACACGUUUUAUGUAUGCACGCCUCAAAGGGCACUUUCGAUAUUUUUUGUGUUUUAGGUCCGGUAUUCGCUGUUCGAUUAACCUUCUAAUCUUACAUCCUCUUACUACUAUUUUCCUUCCACACCUUGUUUGGUACUUAGCUGAAUGGAAUCUUGAGGAGGACAUACCGAAAAAAGAUAUAGUAGGUAUGUGGUCCAAAAUCAAAUAAUUGAUGUACCAACUCGUUUAUCAUGGUGGAAUAAUUCUUGAUAAGUUUAUAUUAUUAGUUUAUUUCUGAUAAAAAAGGAAUGUAAAAAAUGCAUAUCGAGAAGAUUAAAUUACAAAUGUGAAUAAUUAAAUUGGCUAAGCUACAAAUCUAAUCUAUAGUAUGUAUGUAUAUUGACUAUAAAUUUUAUCGUGAAUGAAGUAUAUGUAUGUAUGAUGAGUAGAACACUAAUCAUAUACAUGUUUGAGACGAUUAAUGAUCAUAUUGUAUGAAGAAAAUUGAGGCAAAAAAUCAUUGAGUAUGGUAGAUUGUUAAAAUUUGGGAUGAGAAGUGGAUACAUAAGGUACAAGUUGACCACCUUUCUAGAAAUCUAGAUGACCUUUUUGUAAGUUAAUCAAAUAUGAGUGACCAUACUAGCUAUCUACCCUCUGUUAAACCCGUCUCAUACAAUUCCGUGCCCAGUUGGACUCCGGAGGAGAAUGCGUCAGAGCAAGGGGCAUUAUUGGAACUUUCUUCGUCUUCAAGGUGCCGGCUCGGGAACGGAUUAAACUAAUUUUCUUCUUUUUGUUUAAUUUUCUAUAAUUAAUUCGGCAAUGACUUGAUAAAUAACUAAGAUAGUUAGAGUUUGACAGAUUAAUCAGAAACUGAGUCAUUAAUUAAACCAAAUUAAGCAAAGCUGUUGCCUUUGAAGAACUCUGUAUUUCCAGUCUGUACACCCCUUUGACAAAUGCUUCACGAUUUUCACACUCUCCUACCUCCCAAGUACAUAUGAAACCACUGAGAAAUGGUCCAGUUUAGAUGAAUGUUCUCACUCUGUUCAUGUGCUUUGUAGGUGAUGCGUCCGGCCGUCCAAAGGAGCAUGGGGAUCAUUGUACAAGGGAAACAUACCAAUAUUCGUUGCAUGCACAUAUUCGUUUUAGGAUACCCAAAUUGGUUUUUUCCUCUCUUAAAAUUUUGAAGAAUAGGAUAACCCAAAUUGAUGUUUUCGGUCGGAUCACUAUUGCUUCACCCGAUCUAACGAAGAAGAAGAGUAGGUUUCUAAUUAAGUUGGUAAAACCGUAAAAUACUUGAUUGGACAUAGUUUGAGUAUUUCACCAUCUGAGUGUAUGAUUUCUAUUGAGAGCAACUAUAUGUUGAUGGUGAAGUGAUGGCAUUUUGUGUGGGCGUAAGGAAUAUGCAUAGGUCAUGGUUUUGGCACCACUCUAGAAAGGUUUUGCAGCAGCCGGCGGCUGUCGGGACUCGGGGAGAUAGUUGUAGCCAUUUUCCAUGCUAUGCACAUAAAAAUUAAUUUGAAUUUUUUUAUCAUUAAUAUAAGAUUAAGUAAAAUUAAUUUUGGUAUGGACCGCAAUUUUUUUUUGGCGCUAGUUCAUUUACUCAUAUAUCAUUUUUAGGCCCGUAGAAAAAUCCCGUGCAUUUAAGUUUGAAAGAAGCCGCUUAUCUUUGGAUUGGUUAGAAUUUAUAAAAAUGCAAUUUUUUCCGUCAGUAUAGCGUAUUUUGGAAUAUUUAUAGCGGCUUCUUUAUAUAAGCCUGUUUAUUCGCCGUUUCCUAAUUUGAACUUUUUUAAUUCAUUUGCUAAAAAAGGCCUUAAGAGAUUCUUAAGGGACAGAAUACUCCAUGUCAUAUAUGAUUGGUCCGAUAAUCGUGGUUACAUAGAUACCUAUUUUUAACUUUAUUUGAUCAGUAUUUAUCAAAGUUAUAACAACGAAAUUUAAUUUUUUAACCAUUUCCAACAUAUAUGUUAAAUAUUGGUCGAUUUGAUUUUUUUUUUUUUAAAUGGUCAAAUUUCCAUAGUAACAUACGAAAAUUGACCACUUUUAACAUGAUAAUUAAAAAAAUUCAAAUUGACUAAUAUUUAACAUGCACAUAAAAAAUAAUUAAAAAUUAAAAUUUUACUAAAUUAAUAAUAGUUAAAUAAAAGUAAAAAACAUUCAAUACCCUUAACAUUUUCCUUUGACUUUUAAUACGACUUUAAUACUCUUUUAAUAUGGCUUUAAUAUUCUUUUAAUAUGUGCUACGGUGGUCAAUUCACGUAUUUCCAUGGAAGUUAAGAAUUAGAAUUCAUUUUGACUAAAUUUUCAUCUCCCCAAGUGAAAUCACCAGCCCAAUUGGCCAAUUUGCACCCCAGACUUAAUUCAUCUCCUUCAUUUUCAAAGUGUGUCACUGUAAUUCUUCGUCCAACCUCGUGGAGCCUCCACUCCAGGGUAAAAAUCAACGUUCAAAGACAAUAUUAUCAAGCAACUAGUGAUGUAAUCUGUGACAUUCUUGGCCAAACAGAGGCUGCAAGUCAAAUAAUCGAGCGUUUAAACUGACAUGCGACACAAUGAAUCCCACUGUACACAAAUACAUGUACGAGUAAAGUAUAGACCUCCCGAAAAAAAGGCAUGCAAUUUACAAAUUAAGACGUAUGUAAGGUCACUUGAUAAAGGUGUAUGUAAGCUCACCAUUAUAGUUAAGUGUCGUUCAAUCUUAUCUAAAAAAAGUUGAAAUCUUGAUACUCACAAACACACCCCCCCCCUCAUUGGAAUCAAAUCUCCCAUUCAACGAACUCAACCCCUAUAAUUGGCAUGAAAUCCUUCAUGUCCCCUGAUUCAAGACCACAACCUUGCUCCUAGGAACACAGAAAACCAUUAAACAAAAACUCAUCUUUCUUCUUGGUUUAAUAAACCUUAAAUUAAACUUGCCAAAUCACAGCCUGUUCAGUCCCUAAUCCCACCAACAUAGGGAUUUCUCCUACUUCCCACAUGUUUCUGUCUUUUCCUGACACUUUGUUGGCAUGUCUUCUGGAGUUCAUACCACAAUAUCCCACUACUAAUCCUAACAUACCCUUUAGUUUAAAAUUGAUCCAACUUGUCUUGUAUCCUUAGCUGGUCCUUACCUUCUUUUGCCUCGAAAUUUCGAUCAAUUUACUUAAUGUCACUGCGACCUAUAUUUCGAUUGUCUUGAUAUCUCUACCUCUAGGUCGGAAACCCACUUGACUUAAGCUUCGUGCAACGGAAUCUAUCCGUUCGGUGUAUCUAUUUAUUAGCUUCCAUUGAACUCCAAGCUAUGAAAGUCUAUCUUCCUUGUAAUUCGGUUGUGAUCUCCAUAGUCCCAACGCUGGUAGAAGGAGCGGUGGCUGCAUGGUUCCUAACCGAAAAUGCAGGCUCUUUUGGAUGAGGAAGGCUCGAUGGAUCGCAUCCAAGCAUGAAUACGACAUCAGCCAUGGUGGGCCGGUCGCUAGGAUCCUCCUGCACGCACAACAACGCCACGAUCACACACCUCAUGAACUCGUUGGCGUUGCAUGUACCGGGCAAUGAUUGCUCCAUCACUUCCAUUACAUUGCCCUCCCUCCACUUCCCCCACACCUGAAACUAAAAUUAAAGUUCUGUAUUUGGCUUGCCAUAAAUGCUUAGAAAUCUAACUCAAUUUUCUCUUUACUUACAUGGCUUGAAAGGGAAAUGCCUUCUUCAUACUUGUAAAAGCCAGUGUUCUUCCUCCCAAUGAGGAUCUCAAGAACAACUAUUCCGAAGCUGAACACGUCGGAUUUCGUAGAGAAUUUCCCAUCUAAAGCAUAUUCUGGAGACAUGUAUCCGCUGCAAAACCACGAAAUAAUCCAAUUAAGCUCAGUUUUAAUGACAAACACACUGUUGUAGGUUGGGUCGGGUGGUGGCUUACUAAGUUCCAACAACUCGAACAGUGUCGACCUCAGUUUGCUUGGCUGCCACUAUCCUAGCCAUGCCAAAAUCCGAUAUCUUGGGGUUCAUCUCCUCGUCGAGAAGUACAUUACUCGUCUUCAAGUCCCGGUGGACAAUUGUCAGCCUCGAAUCACGGUGGAGGUAAAGCAUCCCUCGAGCAAUCCCCAUUAUGAUGUUGAACCUCACCUCCCAAUUCAGCAACACACUUCGACUCCGAUCUUAAAAAAACAGAACACUAAUUAACAACAUCCGCCCAUCAUGUCCAAAAAAUAGGUUGAUUGCGGGACAAGCUAGCUAGACCGACUCACUGAAGAUGAAGGAAUCCAAGCUCUUGUUAGGCAUGUACUCAUACAACAACAUCUUUUCACUCCCUUCAACGCAGAAUCCCAACAACCUCACCAGGUUCCUAUGCUGCAGCUUCGCGAUCAAAACGACUUCGUUCUUGAACUCUUCUAGCCCUUGUGUCGAACCACUUGAAAGCCUCUUCACAGCUAUCUCUUGCCCCCCUGGAAACAUCCCCUGCAUACCGUUCGAAAAUUUUGUUGGCCACAAAGUUCGAACCUAGCUUAAAGCCAAACCGCUAGCAAUCAUCUUUAGUUUGUUACCUUGUAAACAGGGCCGAAACCUCCCUGGCCAAGCUUGUUGUUGUGGCAGAAGAAGUCUGUAGCAGAUAGAAUGCAUUCCAGGUCGAAGAAUGGCACAUCUAUGUCUUUCUUAUCGUCUUCUCCGAAUUCGGUCGUGUUGAUCAAGAACUCUUUCACCCGGUUCUUCUUCUUCGCAUCUUUUCUUACUUUUCUUUUCAUCCAUCGCCGUAUGGCUAAGCUAAUGAUCAGAAUGAUCAGAACACCUCCAAGAAUUGGAAAGAUAAUGGAGUACAGUCUUCUUCUAUUUGAAACAUCUGCAUCAAGAAACUGAAGCAAAUGAUUGACCUGACUCAAUCCUAGUCAAUAUAAUAAUUUGAAUUUAUUAAAAGUCAACAACCAAAAAGACUAGUAACUAGUGAAUUGUGAUCUCAUUAAACCUCAUCAAUUUGUAACCCACUAAACUCGUAACUAACUAUGUUUGGCAAUAGGAAUCAUGAUUCUUAAGAAUGUGAAAUUGAAUAUAAUCUGGCCAAUUCGGCCGAUUGAGAGCCCACUCCUCCUUGUAUAACUCAAAGUCUUUGGAAAUAGAGCAGUUUUUGAUGUUUACAUUGUAGAAUGGUCGAAAUAUUACUAAAAUAAAUUACUCAUUUAAUAGACACAAUAGAGUAUUUUUUAUGUUUGCAUUGUAGAAUGGUCGAAAUAUAAUAAUUCAUAUAUGCAAAAAAUGGUAGUAUUCGAUAACAAUAAAACAAAUCUAACAUAAACAAUGAACCCUAUAAUUAAACAACACUAUAUAUAUCGGAUACCCAUGAUACGGAUACUAUCAUAUUCGUCCCCGCCUGUUAUCCACUCUAAACAGAUACCAAAUUUGCCAUACCCGUCAAUUAUCCAUAGAUAAGGUUCUACCCGCCCAAAUUAAAAAAAAAUUGGGUAGUUACGGAUUUUUGGAUUACAACUUAAUGUAAGCCUACAAAUUAUUGGUCUUCGUUUCUGGAUUAAUUCAUUAUUUAUUUAAGUUUGAACUCAGCCCAAGUAGAAACCCACUAAUCAUAAGCCCGGGCCACUAACUUAAUUAAUCCACAGUAGAGCAAAUCUAUAGGCAUCCAAGAAAUAUGGUUAAGUUACUGGGUUGAGCAGCUGUCGGGGCAAUUGCACUAGAAUCGCAUCCCGUUCCAUACGGUUGAUCAUCACAAAAGCAAGCGAACGAGCUCGUCGUAUCAUUAAAACCGCACUGCCCACCUGAGAAUCUACAGGUGGAGCACAAACUGUCGUUCGAUGUCCACUGCAUCCCAAAACCUCCAUCAAUCGUCUCUGUUAACCUCGCACCCGUCGGGUCCCUCUGGAGCGACUCCAUAGCCGUUAGCUUUACCGGGACCCUUACUUUUUUGCUGCAUUGUGCCAACCAGCCCCUGAUUGCGGCUUCAUAUCGUCCGAGUACGCUCUCCGUCGGCAGAAAGUCUCCCCCUUGUGACCGGUUGUUGGGGCAACUGAAGCUCCCCAAAUCCAGGGGGAUUAGAAUUCCGGAUGUUGGCAGCGAGCAACCGUAGUAAAGAUCCACAAAUUGGGUCUCGACCGUGAAGUUGAACAGAUUCUCGACCCCGGUGACGUUGCGGGGAUUCGAAGGACAGAGAUUUUGGUCGAAAUCGGUCUGCAAAAGCGUUAGGAUUUGGGAGGAGUUGUUAAUUUCGAGUAUCCGAUAAGAGAGACCGGAGAUAGAGAUGGUGGGAAUACGGUUUCGGCAAGUGAGAUUGAACUCUGGGAGGCCGCAAUAACUAGGACGGCCGGGUCCCCGAAAGGGAAAACCGAAACGUAAGUCUCCACAUUCGAUCUGCCUGCUGCAAUCCAAGUAUUCAUCGUCUUGCGCGGAGCUACUACUGAUUGUGAUCAAGAUUGAGAAGAUGAGAACGCAGGAGAAGGUGGAUGCAGGAUAACGGAAUAUCAUAUUUUUGACAGAGAAAGAUUGUAAGGAACUGGAAGAGGAGGAUGGAAAGUUCAAAGAUGGUUUUAUUUCCCAAUAGAACUUUGGUGUAAUUAGUUUAUUAAUGGAGGUGGUGAAGUUUGACAAAGAAACAGGGGGCGGGGAGAAGAAGAUUCUACUCUGGAAUUGGAGUCAAAGAAGAUUCUUGUCUUCUACCUGAUGAUAAUAUUUUUGUCUACAGGAAUUAGCCAUUAGGAAGGAAGAAAGGCAACUGAUCAGUAAAUUCCGCCAUUAUUCAAAGGUCCAUCAUGUUUGGCGAAGUCAAGCAGAGGAAAAACCCAUGAAUGUGAGAAUUGGGAAUAGUAAGAAGAGUAUAAAAUGGUGCGGGAAAAUUACCACGCCCCUAACUUCCAAUUUGUAAACGCGUCCAGGACACGGCGAAGAAGAGAAAAAAAAUGGAGACGACUGCAACACUGGUCCUUUUCAAAAUUAAAAAUAAAAGACCGCAACACUGGUCGUCUGGUACGUACAUCACAGUUUGAAAUUUUAAUAGUGUAUGAAGAAAUGUAAAAAUAGUAAGUGGGUGCAUACAAUUUGCAUUCGUUUCUAAAUUCUUCUUCCAUAUUAACCAUAAAAAACGAUCGAUAAAUGCAUCUACAAUUUACACAAUACAAAUAAUCUAGCUACAUAUAGAGUCGGUCGGCGUCAUUUCAAGACAACGCCAAGAUAAGGAAGCUUUGUUUCCAAAACGUCGGAGCAAAUAUGAGACAUCUUUCGGUAGAAAGACAAAAGCUCGGACAGCUGUUCCACCGACAUUUUCUCCACCACACUUCUCGCAACUUUCUCCCUUUCCUCGUUACGUUUCACUUUCUCUAUGUAACAACCUGCGUUCCUCACCGUCAUCUGCUUCAGCCUCUUCUCUUGCUGCACACUCAGCGCUCUAUUUGACUGCAACAUAAUAUUUCGUUAUAUUAUAUUAAUUAAAAGAUGCAUGCAUGUAAAUAAUAUUAAAAUAAAUAAAUUAUAAUAAUUACCUCAAGGAAUUCUGCUCCAGGUUUCAACUCUGAUUCUUUCGAUGGCUGUAUCUCCCCAGCUGAAUAAUACAUAUCCCUAGCAAUGGAGAAACUGCUUGCAGGACAAGCUAGCUAGACCGACUCACCGAAGAUGAAGGAAUCCAAGCUCUUGUUAGGCAUGUAUUCAUAAAGCAACAUCUUUUCACUCCCUUCAACGCAGAAUCCCAACAACCUCACCACAGGCUGUUGUUGUUGACCAGUAAGAAGAAUCGUUGGUUUUUGUUGUUGUUGUUGUUCCGUCGAGGACUUGGAGGUUGCCGUCCGGUGUGAAACAGAGGAACCCUGUCGAAUCGGGUAGGUCCACUAAUUUCUCGAUUCGCUACCCAGACGAUUACCAACGGGUGAUUCUUGUACCAUAUUCCUAAAUACCGAGAUGGAAUCUUGGUUCGGUUGGGAGUGAAGAAACCGAGCUGGAAUGCUCAGCCGUCGGAAGUUAGAGAUUCGCCGGCGCUGUCUCAGAGGAGGACGGCGGAUGAAGAAGUGGAUGAGGUGAAUGUUAUGGAUGGGGAAACAGGGGAUGGGAGGAAACAGAGGAACAGUAGUAGUGUGAGAAAGGUGAAGAUUUUGUUAAACUCCAUUGAUUUUCACUUUUCGAACUGAAAUGAUUCAGUCACUGAUUAAGCUCAUUUUUCAAUUGUUUUACCGACGCGUUUGAUGAUCCAAUUUGGCUGAUACUGGAUAUCAACAUCGCAAUUUCAAAAGCAUUUAGCUGUUACCCAUCAAAACGAUAUCUUUGUUUAUGUAUAUAAACUACCAAGCGGAAGAAACUUUGGUUCAACUGUGGCAGUUUCUUACGGGGGGGAUCUGGGCAAGGAAAAAUGGACAUGGUUGGUUUGACUAAACUUACCAGUGACAGGGAUGGCAAGUGAAAACGAAAGGUUAGUUUAGUUCAUUACGAUGGUAUAAAGUACUUCUGUCUGGAUGGACAAGAAGUCGAUAUGUCCGAGUGGUUAAGGAGACAGACUUGAAAUCUGUUGGGCUACGCCCGCGCAGGUUCGAACCCUGCUGUCGACGUUUUUUCGUAUCCAUAUUUUGCGCCGACAAUGAAUAAAAUCUUUCAGGUGAAUUUUUUUUUUGUUAAGACUUUCAGGUGAUUUAUUGUCCAUCUUUUGCGCCGACGAUAAAUAAAAUCUUUCAGGUGAUUUGUUGUCGGAACUUCGGGGCCUUUUAUCACACUUUUGUGGGCCUCUACAGCCCAGUAAAACCGUGGAUUGGGCUUUCAUAUCAACUGAAUUUUGGACUUGGGUGUAAUUCUGGUUAGAGGCUAGGCCUACCAAACUAAUAUAUGAUAAAUAGAGAAGUAGACAAUAUUAUUGAUUCUCAAUAAAUUGAAAGGUUUUGAAAUUGGACCAGAGUUUGAACUGGUGAGAGUAGAGUUAAAAAGAUUUUGAUGGGUUAAUUGGAGUUCAAUCAUUUUUUAAAUUUGGUUUAGACUGUUUUAAUUAUUAAUUAAAUAAAGAAAUAUAGUUAAGUCGGAUUGAAUAAUUUUUUGAUUGAGCCGGAUCAAACUAGUAGUAUGGAGAGUUUAAUAUCAUAAUUUAGUUUGUCAAAAAUAUAGUUAUUGAAUCAUUUUUUAAGAAGUUUCAAAUUAUAUAAAUGAUUUGAAGUUUUUAUUAAUAAAAUAAUUGAUAUCUAAUGUAUAAUUUACUUAAUUUAUGAUAAAAUGCUAUUUUUAGAUUUAAUUAGCUGUUGUGAUGUUUAUUAUUAUUAAUUAAAUACAUAUUUUAAUCAAAUUGAGAUAUUAGUAGAGAUGGUAUCAAGAGAUGGUAAUCAUUCAUCUUCUCUACUUGAAAGAUCAUGAUUUGAAUCUCACUCACAUUUUAAAAAAAUAAAAAGUAUAAUCAUAAAAAUUGGGUGUAACCAGUCGAACCGAUCAAAUUUCAUAGUCAAACCGAAUCAAUGCCUAAUUUUGACCAUUCUCAUCAACCGGCCACUCAAUUUCGACUCUUUGGCCGGUUUGCGGUAGAGAUUCUUAACGAUGAUAAAUUGUUAGUUUUGUUAGGAAUUGCGUUUGUCUUGAAUUUUCUUUUUAUAAUGCAUCAGGAUUGGGGUAUAAUCUCCACAUGACGUGUCAUGAUCGCUAGAUGUAACGGAAGGAUUUUGAACUAAUUGAGUGUUUGAACUAUGGAAAUAGACCCUAGAUUUGAGAGGAGGAACUCAUACAAAUUACCCAUUCUUGUCGUACCGCCUUGAUUAACCGAAUAACACCAUACCCACUCAGUCGGAGCCCAUUAAUGAUCUCACUCAACUAGAUUGUACAAAUCUCAUCACCGCAUAACCAUGAUCAAAUAGACUACUUCAGGUAAUCAUACAUUCAUGAUGGUACAAUUCAACCACCAUAUCCACAUCACUUUGAACUUGCAAAAAGGAAAAUACAAAUAAUUAGGUAAGUGGGUGAAUAAAGCCAUUCUUAUCCUUCACCGAAAUGAUGAUAAGCCCAGCGCCCUCACUGGGCCCGAAACUCAGCAUUACGUAAUGUGGAAAUGAAGUGAUAAAGAAGAAGCCAGAAUACUUCCUAUUAUAAAAAGUGGAAGGAUAGGGGUGAGGUUUCCGGGCCCACAGGGAUUGUACAUGUCACGUGAUAAAUCCCCUCCCCCACGUGGGAUCCGGCCCCGGUCCAAUAAGAGGAGGAUCAAAUCAAAAUACAAAUUCCACAUAAGCGUAUCAAAACAAACUCUCCCCACUGCUCUCUUGACACCUGGACUGCCGCGUCAGUAUUUGUGGGUAGUACUAAAUCCCAAAUAUCUCUUGCAUUUUAGUACCUGAAAGUAAUUUUUAGUUUAACCUCGACCGGCUUUAAACGAGAAUGACAGGCGAAUAAUAUAAAUUUACUUAGAACGUGAGGCGGACCUAUCAAUAACUGCUUAACACCUAUGUUUUGGAGCUCGUGGCGGUCAGCUAUGCUUGUUCGUGGUGCUUCUGACAGGGACAAUGAAAAAUCGAUAUCGAAGGUGAUGUGGAGCUGGUGAUAUCAAGACUCUCUCAACUGACUAUCCGCCGCAUGGCUGGAGGUGCCAUCAUCAUAGAGAUUCUGAUUUUUGUGAUGGUAUGCCUAUUUAGUUACAGGUUGUCCGACGGUUUAUAAAUAGAAUUGUCCACUUAGUAACACGACAUGAUAUUUCAUAUCUUUCUGAUUGUGUUGACGCUGAUCUUACAAUCUGAUUGAUUUUUAACUUGUUAUUUAUCUAUAUCUAUAUUAAUUUCUUUUGUAAUGAGCUACUUGUAAUAAAAAAAAAUUAUUAUAUAAGUAUUAAGAAAUUAACAUCAAGUUGAUUUCAUUGUUUCAAAUUAUAAUGGGUAGAAUUGUAGAUAAUAUUACUAAGACUAGUUUGAUAAUAUCUAAUAUUUUCCACCUAACUUAUCCAAAGUGGGAUAGCCUCCAAAAGAAAUAGGUGACGAAUUUCCUACCUAAUAAAUAAAGGUCCACAUGGUAAUCUAACUCAUGUAUUGAGUGACUAGAUUGUAAUUUUCAUCAUGCAAUAAAUUGACUGAAAUGUUAAAAGAAGUGAAAUUGGAUGACUGUAAUGUACUAAACUGAAACAAGAGAAUAAAAUAUCCGAGAAAAGGGAAAUCAAAUAAACACGAGGUAGAGGGACCGCACAAGAUGAGAGGUGGUGAUUAAGCAUUAACCAUCGGACACCUGUCAUCUUUAUCAACCACAACUUCCACGCGCCCCCACCGCCCAUUCCUCUCCCCGGCGGCGAUUGGCCGGAGCUUUGAUGAGCUUCAUUUUACCAUCUUACCCCCAUUCAUUGUAGGGAAUAUUCCCUUUCCCUGCAGAUUUUUUUACGGUUUAGGUUAAGUAAGUGGACGAAAUUGUUGGAUUCACCAACUCCAUCCUUGGCCACGAAUUCUUCUGCAACGUGUGUUUGCUUUCAUGGAGGUGAAAAAAAAGAUCCCCCCAAUAUCAUUACCAUGAAUUGACAUCUAAUGUCCUCAUUAAUUUGAUAUAAAAACGACAGCAGUUGUGACCGUUCAUUCUCGCCGACGAAUCAUAGCCAUUCAUUACUUCAAAUCCCCCAUGCUUUCUUUGAAAGGUUCCAACCAAGCCUUUUAAUAUUGUCUCUUUUACCCUUUCAUUUGUUUGAUAUUUACACCCAAAUUCGGUUGGUCAAAUACCACAGGCGGAUUAGAAGGCAAUUACGGUUUCGCCGGCGAUAAUAAUUAUAUUAAAGAUGAAAAAGUAUAAUAAUUAUAUUAAAGAUAAUAAUUGAUUUGUGUACAGUCAUAGAAUCUUUAUCUUCGUUGUAAGGGAAGCAUCAAAAUGAAAAGAAUAUCUUCAUUUCGAAAAAGUAAAUACUUAAAACAAAAAUGGUAGUUUCGUAAUAAAGACGAAAACCAAGGCUGUUCCCAUAAGUCCCUUCAACUUUGUCCCAUUUUAAAAAUCGUUUUUCUCCCCUGCCAUUCAUCUUCUUCUCUCAUUCUCUCUCCAUUCGCCACCACCACCGCCUUCCCACGUUUCUCUCGGAAAACAAUUUCAACUGCCGGAUCGAGAUUCUCUCUGAAACUAAUUCGUCGGAAGAUUUUUAACGAUCUGCCCGUCGUAGUCGAAUUGGAAGAAAAGAUGAAGAGGUGUGAGCUGUGCAAGUCUCUGGCGAGGACGUUCUGCGAGUCGGAUCAGGCGAGCCUCUGCUGGUCCUGCGAUUCGAAGGUCCACGGGGCUAAUUUCCUGGUGGCGCGUCACUCACGUACUUUGCUCUGUCAUUUCUGUCAGUGUCCAACUCCUUGGCAGGCCGCCGGUGCUAAGCUCGGUCAUACGGUGUCGUUUUGCUUGCGAUGCGCUAAUGGUAAUACUCAUGAAGCUGGGGGAGAGGAGGAGGAGGAUGAUGAAGAGGUAGAAAGUGGAAGUGAAGGAGAGGAGCUGGAGGAGGAAGAAGAAGAGGAUGAUGAUUUAGGAGAUAAUCAGGUAGUGCCGUGGUCGUCUUCCGAUUCGACGCCUCCGCCGCCGGCGGAGAGUUCGUCUUACUCGUCGGAUAGUGACGGUGGGGAAUCCGUCGUUUCGAUGAAGCGGGGGAGGGAAAGUUUAGAUCUUUGCUGUUUGCUUCAGGUGGGUUUGGCAAAUCAUUUCUAAUAAUUUCAUUUCCGAUUUUCAUCUCUCUUUCCAAAUUCUAAUCUCAGCAAUUAAAUUUAAAAAUGGCAGGACAAUAUCAGACGUCGAUCUCCGCCGGGGAGUCAAUAUCGCUCCGUUGAACCGACCCCGGUGAGGCCGAUGAAAACCCGGCGUAUGGAGCAAGCCGUACUCCGUCCCAGUUCAAGAUCCACGGCCAUUGUGUUGAGGCUGGAUCCGGUUAGUCAGAGUGGCGUCGGAUGCCGCGGAGGAGAGAUGGAAGCCGUUGAGGAAGGAGAUGGAGAUGAUUCGCCGGACAAUAGUAGCCGUACGAUAUAGGGAGUUGAUAAUUUUAUUCCUCCGUUUUGUAUGAAGGUAUCGUUUGGCGUUCCCAAAAUUGCUAACCAAAGAGAGAAUUGAAUUAUUGAAUCAGUUUGAUUUUUAAGUUUUGAGAUUUAAGUGUUGAUUAUUUUGUUUUAGGUGAAUGACAAUGAAAGAACGGGGAUUACGCGACAUUUGGUUGAUAGGUUAGGUUAAUCAGUCGUGUAAAUUGGGGGUUAAUUUGCCGUAAUGAAAAUGUAAUUAAUUACUCUUGGCCCUGAUUUUGUGAUUUGAAAUGGAUAAUAUAAAUUACUGUUACGUUAACAGUGGUAUUAAAGUGGGGUAAUUACUUAAUUAGACAACUUUUUAAGAACGGUCCAUCAAAACUUAGUUACAACCUCUCGUUGUUUGUCAUGUGCACACGCACUAAUUGCUUUUGUUGUCAUUAGUUAAAAUACUAACUAGAAAUCAUUCAACCACUGAUUCCAUCAGGUGGGAUGGCAACAUUUUAUUUUUAGAUAGUUAUACCUAAUGAACUGGUUUUAUACAUGUUUUCUUUAGUUGUGAUGAUUGAAAAUAUUAACGUGUUAACGUUCGCUAGUUUCUUUGUGCUACCAUGUUUAUCCGUUAUUAGUGGUAGUCAAAUUUAAAUAAGUAUUUGUUCGAUGAGAUAAGCAUUUUUUAUAAAACAAAUUAAUAAUAUACUUGGUUUUUACAUGACCUUCUAUCUUAAGAUAAUUAUACAAUAAAAAUAAAUUCAUAGCGUCGGAUUUUACAUUAAUCCUUGGCCGAAUACUUCCCUCACAGGGUACAUUUUGGUGUUAUCAUGACGAACACCAACAUCCAAAUGUCUGGGACUACUAGUUUGGAAGUUUUCUUUAUUCGUCCCCAAUAAUGUCUGAAGUUCGUACUCCCCUUGAAGCCGUCUAUCUCUCUAAUCUUCGGUCACAGGUUGAGAGUCUGAAAGCCCCACCCCGAAAAAUGACAUUGGCAGUGUUAUGGCUCUAUCUCUUUCCUCCUUCCCUUGAACCCAACCAUCCCGAUGAGAAAUCAGAUAUGACCCGAGAUGAACUAUUCUCCAAAGUUGUCGAUCAUUAAUGGAAACCUUUUUCAAAAGAGUAGCAGUAUGGUGUCAUUUUUCAAUGUAUGUGUGGGGGGGAGGGGAAUCUCGAGGCAUGGGGAAAUACAGUGGUUGGCGUUAGAGCCGUGAAAUUUGAUCUGUGAAAAGGUGGCCACAAACACAAAUCCUUGACAAACCACCUCGACCAAGAGAUCAAAACCCCCAAUUUGGGCAAAAGGUGGGUGGGGUUCUGAAUUCUGAGUUUUUCUAUGGGCGAUUUUUUUUGUCUUCUUUUCCAUCGUACACGCAUGCACCCAGCCCAUAGGAGGGUCAUGGGUUUCUUCUGUCUGCCAGUCAGUCAAAUUUUUGGUAGCUAAUGUCUACGUACACAGUACUCUCUCACUAGUUCAUCCAGAAGAAUCAGAGAUCGACAACAAGCUUGCUGUGUAGGGUACAAUCCUUUCUUAUCAUAAUUUUCAGAAUUCUUGGAUCAUUUACAGUUGAUUUCUGAUAAUUAGCCGGUUAUAUAUGAUCGCUUAUAUGUUAACUAACUACCUAACCGAGUGAUUGAAAAGGCCGGUUCUCUCUCGUAUUGUACUCUCCACACAACUCGAAUGUUAGAGAUGCAACGGUUCUCCACAUGGGUUCUUCAUUUCCAAACUUACUAAAGGUCUCUAGCUUUUGCUCCGAAAUUCUCCGAAUUUGAUAAGCUUUUCUUUAGUUUCCAUCGAGUGAUCUUGACUUCUCGUCACUUCGCGACCGUGACUUGAGACUGCUGGGAUGGCCUCAUCACCUAGGAUUGGAUAGCAGCGUCAGUCCCCAUAAUCAAUAACGAAUAUAGGGGCUCUUCCCAACUCCUAUUCUCAGCCUACUUUCUAUCUAGAACUUCGGUACUAAGUGAUUUUCCUCAUAUUUAUAGGUUGGUUAGUAUAUUUUUCAUAGAUGACACGGAAUAUUUUAACUUAUAUAUGAUCAGUCUAGUGUAAUGAACUAUCCCGGAUCCAUCGUAGCCCCCAAUAUAACAAUUUCACAUGCAUAAGACUUGAUGGACGUAUGCAAACCUCAAUUCUUUUUCACGGGCUUUCAUUUGAAAGGGUGUACGUAAUGAAUUUGAUAUAUAUCAACCUUUCUCAAUAAUUCAAUUUAUUAAGAUGCAAUGAUUCUCUCCAUUAACUAUCAACGUCUACAUAUAAUUAAAUAAGUGACAACAAAAGUUAAUUCUUGCCAAAUAAUUAUUAAAUAUAAAAACUAAUAUCGAACCGUUUUCUAACCGCUCAACACAUUGUAACACAAUUAUUUGUUAUGGGAGGAUAGUCUUAUGUUCAUUACUCCUUUGUUAUUAAUAUUAUCACUGAUAAUUAUUGAAAAAAUGCAUGGGUUGAACAUUAUAGAAGAUUUAAUAUAAUUUUCCCUCCACCAAUGAAUUGGCGACGUUAGUAGUACAAAUACAAACAAAUGGUUACGGUUUGACAAAUAGAAUAAUAUAAAUCAACAUCAAAUGGGGAUGAGAAAAUAUCUUUAUUUUCAGUUUUAAUUUUGAAAUGAAAUUUUAUUUAAUUUGGGGGAAAAUACAAAUAUCUGGGGAUGGAGGGUUGUGUGGCCCAACUUUGCCUUCUAGAUCCUUUAUUUUCUGGAAUAUAUAUACAGACAAUAUUAUGCUCAUGUUAGNNNNNNNNNNNNNNNNNNNNNNNNNNNNNNNNNNNNNNNNNNNNNNNNNNNNNNNNNNNNNNNNNNNNNNNNNNNNNNNNNNUAAAAUCUAUUUCUUCAUUUUUGGAAAAUGGAUUUUUUUGGAACAAUUAUUGAGAGCCAUAUUAAUAAUCCAACUUGGAUUAAUGACUAGAGAUGGUAUAGUACAUGCACCUUACUUUUUAGUAGAUAAAGGCUGAAGAUGUCUCGAUUCUUGAUUUAAAACUACUUCUACAUAAGGAAAUUUUAAGAAGAUAAUGAUAUGUAUAUACCGUCUUUUAAUGAGUCGAUGAGAGAAAAUUUAAAAUUUAGAGGUAAGAUUUGAGUAUGAUCGGAAAAUUUAUAGAGAAAUUGAAUAUGAGGUGAGAUUAAAUUAGAAUUAUCUUGNNNNNNNNNNNNNNNNNNNNNNNNNNNNNNNNNNNNNNNNNNNNNNNNNNNNNNNNNNNNNNNNNNNNNNNNNNNNNNNNNNNNNNNNNNNNNNNNNNNNNNNNNNNNNNNNNNNNNNNNNNNNNNNNNNNNNNNNNNNNNNNNNNNNNNNNNNNNNNNNNNNNNNNNNNNNNNNNNNNNNNNNNNNNNNNNNNNNNNNNNNNNNNNNNNNNNNNNNNNNNNNNNNNNNNNNNNNNNNNNNNNNNNNNNNNNNNNNNNNNNNNNNNNNNNNNNNNNNNNNNNNNNNNNNNNNNNNNNNNNNNNNNNNNNNNNNNNNNNNNNNNNNNNUAUCUUUAACUCAAUGUUUACAUACAAAUUUAUAACUUCAAAAAUCGUUAGCCAUCGACACGAACCUUCCUCGAGCCGCUAGUGUUAUAACAUGCAAUAUUUUGUACACUAUUUUAUAUAAUUUGUUUAUUUAUUUUUGGUAAAAAGGAGUUCCAAACACUGAGUAAAACCAUUUAUGGUAAUAGAAGCAAAUUAUUAAUAGAAAACCAUGGGUGAUGGCCGGCCACAAGUGGAUUUCACAUAAAGAAGAAACUUUCCUAAACCAGAGACAACUAUAAUAAUAAACAAAUGAAAUAAAACAACCAAUUUUCAACCGUAAACAAAGAUAGUGGUGGAGAAUGGAGUCUACUCUUCCCAUGCAUCGACCAAUUGCCAGUCUUUUCAAUAUGAUAAUAGUAUCGAACAUUGGUUCGGCCGGUUUGAUCAUAGAUUAAUCGUCGGGUUGGGUUGGGUUGGAAGAGAUUUAAUUAGUAUAGUUAUGAUUUGAUCAUAGUUAAUUUAUUAUGUUAUAAUAGUUUUAAACAAUUAAACCAUGUUGUAUUAACUUUUCUUUUGUUUAUAUGCGGUCAAGGGGAGAGGUAUAUAUCGAAUUUCUAUAUAGUAAACUUAAACAAAAAUAUAAUCAUAUACUCAAAGUCAUACCCAUUACCUACUUAUGAGAUCGUUCAUACAAAUACAUCAAAUUUUGACCAUAUAACAUGCAACUUCAUUUGUAGAUAGUCAGACCGAUUGCAGUUAAUGAGAUGGAGCAUAAGCUAGUUUAAAGAUGGUAACUCUUCGAGCAGAACAUAACAAAUCUGAACCAUGAGGACCAGUAAGACAACCCAUUUUGUGGGUAUACAAGCAACCACACACACCUUUGACAGCCAGUAAAAUGUUCAAACAAUAUGAAUACGAGAUGUCCACCAAAUCGAAUCGUACAAAAAUGAUUGCAAAGUACUAACUAACCCAAUGGCGUCACGGAUCGAAAUAACACUCAUUAUCAACCUUAAUUAGAUGGAAUCCUAGCUCCUAACAACCACAUGUAAAUGACAUGUUUCAACUUUCAAUAGUGUUUAGAGAAUCUCCGCUCCUUUCAGCAGCGAAUAAGCACGUCCCCGAGUAGCACCUUAAUCAUAUAUAAUUAACUAAUUUGAAAACCCUACCACCUUUAAUUUAUGUGAAAAUGGAAGCUUCCCUCGACGAAUGAGAAGCUUUGGAACAAGAACGUUUGGGGAACAAGAGGCUGGAACUUUGGGUCAAUCAAUGGAAUUAAUAAGUGGGUGGCUUGUGGGGUCUUGAUUUUGGGACUUAGUUUCUUUCUUGUGGUGGGAAUUCGUUGAAGUUGUUUCAGAACAAAGUGUGUUGGCUUCAGUUUAGUGGUGGUCGUUGAUAUUUUGAUUUUCCUUCUUAUUUUAAUCAUCUUCCUCGUUUCUUGGCCAGUUAAUUAUAUGGUUUAAUUAAGUACUAGCCGUGUAGUUUACUCGUCAUUAAUUAAUAAUUAUUAUUUUAUUUGUUAACCACAACCUUAAUUAGAGGUGUGUAGGACCCGGCUACCCCUAUUUUCAGGUAAAGAAAUGUUAUGUGUAAUUUUCAAAAUUAUUGUUUUUGGUUAUCUUUAAUUGACUUUUGAGCUAUAAAUUUUAAAGCGAGUUAGAUAAAAAAAUAGAUGACAGUGAUUUUGUCUUAGGUUAUCUUCUUUGUGGUGUUCACGGAAUUGCUCGUGAACUUUAAUAUUGUGUGUAAAUUUAGGGCCGGAUCAAUCCAACGAGUGUUAUUAUGUGAGGAAAUUUGCUAAGUUUCAAACAAUAUGAUAAAUCGAUAUAGAAAUAAGCAUUUGUGGGUUGCCAGUUUAGAGAACAUGCCCCCUCUACAACAACAACAACAAUAACAAGAUUUCAGAUCAAAUUACUCGCUCUUGUCAAAUUUGAUGCGUUGAAUUUACAUACAUGGUCUCGUAGCAUUGGUACACAACUAUGAGAAGUUAAAACCACUCCAUAAGGAGCACUACUAUUACUUGAAAAUUCACUAAACUUCGAGCAACAUGAUAAAUCUUCUCUAAACACCCCCAGUUAAAAGAUGUAUUUUUUCGAAUUAUUAUUAUUUCAAAUCAAAUUACUCACCGAACUUCAUCGAAGAUAAAAAGUUAAAUCACGAAAAAAAAACACCCGGACAUUUAUAUAUCUAUAUUUCCUUUUUGAUUAAACUAUAAUGCCAUGUUGUGUUGGUGAUUUUCAAAGUAAGAAGGGUCAAUUCCAAGUUGGUUGGGAAUCUGAAUUGGAUUUACUAAAGAAAUUAUAGAAAAAUUAUGUGAACAACAAAAGCCCUUCUCUCCCCCACCACUAAUUUCAGAAAGGGAAGCCAUUUGUUUUCCAACUCAAGAACACCCAUCUUUGUCUACAACUUCAAUUUUCAUAUAUAUAAGUCGUGUGGCUAUGGCCACCAAAGAAAAAGAGAUUGCAUACGUUUAAAUAUUGCAAGUAGCUAUGUUGGUGCACUCAUUUGAGACUGCGAGAGAGACAUCACAUCAAACUUUGUUAAAUAUCGACAUCUUUGCAUCCGAAAAUUUGACAUUGUUGGGUAGGACGUGGCUAGUCCCGACGAGGAAAGAUUAUCUAGGCAUAGUUUUCCGUUGGAUAGUUCACUCAUAUUGGUAAUAAGCUUUAUAUGUAGCCAUUUCCUUGACCACCAUGGUCACUGCUCGUCCCUUGCAUCGGAUGUAGUAUCCGCUGGUACAAAAAGAAGUUGGUACGUUCGUGUACUAGUCUAUCGCUCAAUCACCUACAUUCCAAUUACGAGCACAAACACUAAAUAUUCAAGGUAAAUCUGGUCAUAAACAUUUCAUCCUAAUAACUCGAGUUAUUCGUUAACAAAUCCAACACAUCAGUAACUAAUAUGAAUCCACAACUAGUUGAUAUUGGUGCAAUGCAUGUACCAUGCAUUAACACUUUCUAGCACAAAACAUAGUUUCAUGUUAUGAAUGAUGACUUAUGAAACAUGAGGGUAUUCGGAUCGGUUCUAGCAAACUGUCCUACUUAUGUAAGCUUGAUCGGUUCACCACACAACUGCUGAAGUUCGCUCUCAAAAACUCUCGUCAAGCUAGCCUUUGUCCGCCGAUAGAUCCAAGCUUCGGCAUCAUGGUCCCAGUCGAACCUCGAUGGACCACUACACGAAACCAUAGAGUCUGGUCAUUCAAUUCAUCUACCAGCUGGUUCAUAGCAAGAACAAAAAACCAUUGAUCCAAGAAACGCCAGAGAAAAAAUGGUAAGUGAUUCAUACCUCCCAGGAGAAGAGAGCCAAAGCUGCCUAUUGGGAGUCUGUUUGUUCAACACAAAGGUGCCUAGCUCUCCAAGCUUCAAUGUCAGAACCUCAUUCUACAAAUACACAACCAACUUUUUCAGAAAUCAGAACAGGGUCAUUUUGAUAUUCGAGAUAUCACGAUAUUAACAUAACUGUUGAACUUGCAUUCUCUCUAAUGAAACGAAUUAGAUUCUAUUAAAAGCUUACCCCAUAAUCAAUAUCAAAUCCUUCCACGUGAGCUGUAUCCCCAUAUUCCUACCACCACCAAAUCAAAUCCAAUUCGAAUUAACAAUACAAACACUACAACGAAUUAACGUAACUCAAAGCAAUCAAAUUUGCAUUUCAAACCUCCAAUUUCUCUUGUAGGUUAUGAAUCGUUGAAUCGGCUAGGUUGUGGAACUCGUUCUCCUGCAGAAGAGAGCUGUUUCUACAUUAAUCACCAUCUGUCACAGAAUACCCACUUCAGAACCUUUAACGUACCGGUAAUCGAUGGCGGAGGGGCCCUGGUCGACGGUGGAAGUUGGAGACGAGAAGCUUAUGGAAGGAGGAGAGACGGCGGAGGAAGGUGCGAAGGUGAAGCGAGUAGAGAUAGAUCGUGAAGCUUUCGGGAGUCGAGGACGUGGAGAAGGUGAAGAAGGGAAGCUGGGUGUUUGGAGAAACUUACUGAAUCGUCGGAAAGGAAGUAGCUUGGAAGAAGCCAUCGGAGCUCUCCUGAGACUGAGAAGUGAGAGCUAGCUGCCAAUGGAUGUCUGUUCGCUUUGUUGAUUCCUUCGACACAAUUCAGUCCGGCCCAUACUGAUGUGGGCUUGAUGAUGCACUCACGAGUAGUGUAAUAUAUUUGCCCCAGCCCAUUGUGUUUUCGAGUCUGGACCAGAGUGCCUUCAACCUCUCCCUUAAUUCGAAUUCUGCCGAGGGUGUCCGAUUAUUCUUGUCUCGCUAUUCAUAUAAGUACUCACUGUUUGAGUAUACACAUUGACUAUUUUUUGGCAUAGAUUGCUCCUAGGAGGAAAAAUCGAUAGAAUAAACACAAACAAAUUUAUGAAUUUAUCAAAAUCAUGAGCUCGAUUUCAACACGAUCAAGAAAAUAUAAAAAGCGUGUCUCGUCAUUUGAUAGGUAGCUCUGUUACUAUUACGUCGGACAAUCUACCCCUACAAACGAGGACAUACCUUCUAAAAGGCCAAGACUCCUAUAAUGACGACGACACUUACCACACAACAAAUGUUCCUUUGUAAUAAUAUGAAAAGCGUUCGCAUCUCUUAAAUACUCACCUCCUAAAUAAGUUAAUUUCAUACCAAAAAUACUAAAUAUACCAUAUUGAUUGGAACAAAUCCAUACGGAAAAUAAUUCGAGGCGGCUAAGGUAAAAAAUAAAAUUUAAGCCGGGAAGGUUGCAAUGCUGGUUCAGUAUUGAGUGGCCGCGGCGGCAACCGCUCGAAAGCAAAGGCGAGAAAUUACUCCAUUGAUUAGCAUCCACCAAUCCUGAAAACUUUUUGGUUAAUCCACAACCCGCCGAAAUAUCAAACCACCGACGUCAAAACAGGAACAGAAUCUCCGCCGGAGAAUUGAAAAUUUCAAUGGCUUAAGCUCACUUGAAUUCCAAAUCGCAAAGAAUCCAAUUCUUCCGUUUCUCUUCAGGUUUGCUUACCCACCUCUUGAUCUCAUCCUGUUGCUGUCACGAAAAAGUUAAUUAGUUUUUUUUAAAUUGCAAAUUUCUCUGUUCACUGACCCUUUUAAAUAAUCAGGAGCCAUUGAAAUUACGUAGCUGUGGUCUAUUUGGUGUUUGCGUCUGCCAAAUUCAAUCCUCACCACAGAAAGUCUUGUUUGUGUGCGUAGGGUUUUUCUUUGUCUUCUUCCAGCUACCGCCUUCUCUCUCUCGUUAGGUAAUAUUUAACAUUCAAUAAAAUCAAUUCAUAUUGUAUUAGAUUCCAUUAUUGUUUGGUCCUGCUGAAUUUUCAUUUCUCCGGAUCCCUCCCCCAUCUCUGCUGCAGAAGUUUCGAGGUUGUGAAUCUUCAGGUGCCGCGUUGAGCUUUCUUUCUACAAUCUGGCUGGGGAAAGGUAAGUCUUGCUUCCUAUUUUCCAGAUCGUACGUUGGGUUUGGUUUGUUUUUUCUUUCUGAAUUUUGCCUGAGUAGACGGAAUUUCGUAAUGUUUAUCUCUUGAUAAGUGGUUUAUGGCUAGGCUUUGCAUCUAUUUCAUGAAAGAUCUGAUCUUUAUGAGCUGAGGGUUGGGAAUAAUUGAAUUGUUGGGGACGAAUGUUCAAUUUUCCUUGGCGUUAAAGGCUGAUGUUUGGAUUUGAUUCUUGCUUGAGUCAAACGGGUUAUGGGGGUUUUUUUAGCUCCAUUGCUGCUUUAUGUUCUUAUUUGGUAAAGCAUUAGCUAUUUGGAAUGCCCUUUUCCAUUGAUGAAUGAUGAACUUAUGUUCAUGUUACAUGAUCAUCUUUGAUUACAUCAGUUGAGGAAUUAACCUUGAACUUGCUUAUCCUUUUGGUUUUCUGGCUUAAACUUUUGAAGGUGUGUCUGUUUGUAUUUCUACGUUUCAAUCAUGCUGUUCCUUCAUAUCAUGGUUUUUGAAUGUUCUUUGCGUUAAUUGAGCAGGCCAUACUGUUAUAUGCAUAUUGGGGACUCGAUUUCCCUAGUUGACAAAGAUUCCGGUUCACUCUGGCCGCUUCAACAAAGUUGAGGUCUGCUCGCACCUCAAGGUGGGUGUGGAGUGAUAGCGAGGAAGUGAUAUUGCUUUGUGCGUUGAGGAGAUCGAGAUCUUCUCAUGUUUGGAGACUAUGCCGUGUAUCGGAGGGCUUGUCGCUUGAUUAUGGCUAAGGUUUUCAUUUUCUAGAGUUUUCAUUAGUGUUGGUUACAGAUUAAACAUUUCCGGCAAGCAAAUAGGUUUAAAUAUCAGGCUUCUAGAUGUGAUCAUCAUAUAGAAUAUCCGGGAGUUUUAGUCCUAGUGUAGUUGCAAAGACCAGGUUGUAGAUGUAGAGCUCUCCUCGGUUUGCUGUCACAAUGGUUAGGUUCUCGUGCUUCAAUGGUCAUAUUCAUUCAUCCCACAAAUCAAAGGUAUGUGGAAGAGUCACUGGCAUUUGGAGUUAAAGAGUCGCAAGUUUUGAGAUACCGUUUUGUCAUUAGAUAUUCGUUUUCUCCUUCAGACAACUGUUGAACAAUCUAUGGAGGCAAUGCUGAAGGCGUUGCAAGAUUCUACUAAGGUGCAAGAUGUGAAGACGUCAACAGCUCAACCUACAAGCUUAAACUCUGUAUUUCUCAGGUCAAAAACGGAUACUCAUAUUACUUAUGAGGAAGUCUUGGAUUCAGAGGAGAUUGAGCAAACAUCAGGAGUCGAGAUUGAUCCAGGAAUCUGUCAUGGAACACUGCUGAAGAGAAGUAAAUCCCUAGGGGAUGAAUUAUGCCACGAAGGUAAGAUCGAUUACAACAAAACAGAAGAAGAGACGGACCAAGGUGGUUCCAGUGACUGCCCUGAUCAGAACGGGUCGGGUGGAGCACGAGAAGGCAGCCCGACUAGUGAAUAUGAUAAGGCCCCUCUAUCGGAAUCUGUUCAAGUCGGUUCUGAUAUAGUCAACGAUGGAUCGGUUUUCUCGGCUGGAGAUUCUCAUCGUUCAAACAAGGAGGUUCCUGGAAGUUGUGGUAACCAGUUAUUUGGACUUGGUGCUGAUAAUUCUGGCGUACCUUCUCCUCCGCGCCCUACCAGGCUCGAAAGAUCUCGUUCAUUUCCAAACUUCAGGUCUGCCUCUCUGGCAUCGGGUGCUCAUACUGGAUACUUAUCAGGAAAGUCAAAAUCUUGUGAUGACUUACGUGGGCUGGAUAUGGGGUGGAAAGAUCUUCCUGUUCACGAAGCUGGAAUGCAAUCCAUACAUGAUAAGGAUUGCAGAAGUGAAGGGAAUAACUUUGAGAACCUUCCGGACGAUGUGUAUGAUUCUUAUGAUUACUCUUCUCCUGCUAAAGACUGGGUGAUGCCGGUUGCUGACGAGGAUGAAAACUUAGCAGAAGAACAACUCGAACGAGUAGGUGGAUCUUCCAUGCAGCAACCAGGCGAAUAUCCGAAUGAAGAUUUUAGAUUCAGGCGAAUCAAGGCAUGGGUCAACGAUCUUCAUUCCUGCGGCCCUGUGGACGAAGUAGUUGUAUUGCCUGGUAUCGACGAACUAGUCAGUACCGAGCCGUCCACUGUUUCGGGCCGACCUACUACUGUUGUAAAAGUGGAUGAUAAAAUGACUCUGGAAACUCCGUAGGUUAGUUAGUUGUAUCCAUUACUUCUUCCUGCUUUAAAUAUAGAAAGAAAUUUCCUGAAUGUAGUGUGUUUGAAUUUUUUGCAGCUAGAAUAACUGCUGGUGUCCUUCCACGUGGACUUCACAUGCUGAAUCUGGCGAAGAACAAUAUAUCUACGAUCGAGGGUUUGCGGGAACUCACUCGACUACGUGUUCUGGACUUGAGCUACAACCGAAUAUUUAGAAUCGGACAUGGUAAGUACGACACUAACUCCUUUUAACUUGCAUAGCUGUUAACCAUACUUAUAUUCGAACUCUGUGUUUCAAAAAGGUCUUGGUUCUUGCUCAUCCUUAAAAGAGCUAUACUUGGCGGGGAACAAGAUAAGCGAGGUCGAAGGUCUGCAUCGUCUGCUGAAACUCACAGUCCUCGAUCUGCGAUUCAACAAGCUCUCGACGACCAAAUGUCUCGGCCAGCUUGCAGCCAACUACAGCUCCCUACAAGCCAUCAGCCUGGAAGGGAAUCCGGCUCAGAAAAACGUCGGAGACGAACAGCUCAAGAAGCACUUGCAGGGACUUCUGCCCCAUCUGGUUUACUUCAACAGGCAGGCAACCAAAGCCGGCACUUUAAAGGACGCAGCUGACCGGUCGGUCAGGCUGGGGAUAAGUUCAAACAAAUCGGUUAGGAAAGCCGGCCAUGGGGUAACUGCAUCAAGGGCGUUAUCAUCAUCCACGCACGGUGGUCGUGCGAGUACAUCUUCUCCGAAACGGUCGAAGGGGAGGCAUGUUAAGCUCCCGCCGAGUGGAACUGGCAGACCGAGCGGCCAUGCUCGCCCGCCAGUGCAAGGUUUGGAUCUCGGCGGGAGGGUUGUGGAUUUCAGAGCCGAGCUGGCUAUGACGAGGAGUAAGAGUGAAGGGAAUAUGGGACCUCAGUGAAUCUGAAGUUAUGAAGAGGGGAAAAGAACUUUGUUUUGAUGUUCCAGUUUGUGAGGUUUUAUGCUUUGAGAGGUGAUUGUGUUGUAAUCAUUAAUAACGCCAUGAAGAGUGGUGAAUUUGGAACUUGGGGAUGUUGUUUCCUUUCUGUGUUGUGGGAUUUGCUUUGUAUUGCUAAAUAAAAACUGUACUUUCUUCCUCAGAGAUUCCUAUUCGACUCUAAAUGAGUCGAGUUUGAUCAGAGUAUGUUUGGCUUGAGCGGCUCGGAGCCAUUUAUAAUACUUGCCCUCAUCAGUGGGCUCAAUAAAUUCAUUAUGUGUUUUUCCUCAAGUAUCUUAGACUAAACCAUAUAUAAUUUGCAAUUUUAUUAAUGAAAAUGCUAAUAAUACCUGAUCUAGGUUUUAAAAGUAAAAGCUUGUUUUCGAGUUCUGAUUUUGAAUUAGUAUUUGCUUGACUCUAUAGGUUCAGGAGCUGACUUGAGUCUUAGCACGAGAUCCAAUUAAAAUACUUGCUUAACCAUAUAUAAUAAUUAGUAGGUUCAAUAAUGUGAUUUUGCUCACUAAUUAAAAGGGUAGAAACUUGUUUUUUAUAAGAUAAACUUGUUAUUGAACUUCGAUGUCUUUUUACUUUUACUGUACACCGGCUUCAAAGAUAAUUAGCCAGCAAGCUGAAGUUGCCUUUAGCUCGACACGAGCUUUAAUUUUCCAACUCGAACUCACCUCACGAGCUUAAGUAUUUUGUAAGAAAUUGCAUAAAAAUGGAGACUUUGACUGGAAAAUAAACAGUAAGACAGGCAAAGUUGUUAACAUUCACAUGACCACUUGUUCAGGUCAUUACAAAGGAAAACCCAACAGUGUCGAUAUAUACAAAGGGAAAAGGUAACUCUCUCUCACACACAACAAAGACAACAAUGGCCGUCAGCGCUUCUAUUGCUUCAAUUGAUGGCUGCAGAAAGAUUGCAGCUUUUACAGUCCAUGGAUGAUGCAGAUAGAUCACUGAAACAAAAGGACACAGCCAAAACAAACUGCUGGAAGUUAGAUUGGAUUGCGUGUAAGCUAUAGUGAAACUAACCAGUGAAUCAAAUUAUAUUCACCUGAUCAAGCUUGGAAAUCAUAUGCAUGGUAUCCGCAGUUCCUUAAGCUUCUGCAAGAACACAAACAGAGUUAACAUUGAUGCAGGAAGUGAGUUACAUAUCACAGGAAUAACAAUUAAAAUUAAAGCAGAGAAAUUUCAUGAUCAGAUAAGAAUUCCAACGUCAAGACAUCUUGUUGCUCUCGUAGAAUGACUAGACUUGUCCUUUAACCAAGACCCAAUUCUCAUUUCACACUAUAUGAGCUACAAGACAAUCUCUUUUUAAGUAAAUUGACAUAUACCAUGGAAGCAAAUUACAGAGAAGUAGAAUUCCCAGGAUAAGAUAGCCUGUGAUAAGCUAGGAAGCAAACUUAAAACCACUUCUAUCAACUUGCAAAUAACCAUAGAUGUGCAAAUUCAAACAUACUUAUCAAUGAUUCUCUGUUCACCAGAUAAAAAAGCAAAGUCCAAACAGUUCAGCAAAAUGCAGUGAUUCAAACAAAGUUCAAUUUAUCUUCAUUUCCAAUUUCCAAAUAACCAUACUGAUCAAUGAUUCUAUGUUCAAACAGUUGAGCAAAUGCAUUGAUUCAAACCUUUCUCUUCCUGUUCCACCUCUGGCACUGGAAGAAGCUCAGCAGCAGAAGCAGAAGCUCCUAUCUUCAAAUCUUCACUUUCUCCAUCCUUAUCAUCCGGAUACCUUACAACAACCACAGGACAAAUACAGUGAUGAACACAGUAAUCACUAACACUCCCUAACCUCCCUUUACCGCUCCUCCUCGCAGCUCCAAAUCCUCUGCUCCCCAUAAUCACAGCGCUCAACCCUAGCCUCUCAACUUCCAAACACAGCCUCUCCUUCAUAUCAUGAUCCUUCACUAUGUGGAUCUUGAACGGAAACCCGGCGUCAACCAGCGGCUGCGCCAGGGCGCUCGCCUUGGUGGUGGUGAAGUUGUCGAAGUCGUCCUCGAGCUUCUUCUGGUCCGCUAUGUCGUCUCCGUCGUCGACCGUGUUGUUGAUCUGGACUUUGAUCGAUCCCCAAUCGGCUCCGUACAGGACGGAUGUCGGGCGGACGUGGAGGAGUAUGACGGCGUCCCCCGGGCGGAGGUAGUUCUGGACCGCCCAGUUUACUGCGUACGCACUCUCGUCGCUUAGAUCGACGGCGAUCGCGAUGCGGCGCUUUGCUCCGGCGGUUGGAGUGGCGGCAGCUGCUUGAGAGGAGGAGAAGCUUCCGCUGCGAGGGGAGGCGGUGGGGCGGGUGCGGAGGGAUGGGAGGGACGGGAUUGGGAGGUCCGAUUCCGGUUGCUUCUGCGGCGAUGCCAUUGCGGCGGCGGCCGGCGGUGAAGAAAGGGUUUUGUUGAGUGAGAAUCGGUUUUGAAUUUCAGGUGACGGACACUCUAGAAAUGAAGGAGGAGAAAUACACUGGGAGGAAAUAGCGUUGUGGAACAUAUAAAUGCUGUCGUCUGUAGCAGAUUCAGUGGGCCCGAAGAUAAAAGCCCAACUCUUCCAGUGAUUACAGUUGAACUGGGCCACCUGAUAGGACUCUUAGGUGGGCUCAGUCAGUGGUUUGUAUGUAUUUUCGAAGUUCAUUUGGUUGAGGUGGCGAUAGACGCUACAGAAUUGGAUCAUAUUACUGUCGGUAGCUCUAACUAAAGUCGACUCUCGAUCAUGUUAUUGUUGGUAGGUCUAGUUAAAGUCGACUCUUUAUAUCGAAAUAUUCGAUCAUAUCUCUCGAUCUAGACACACCAGACAUAUCAUGACGAAGGUAACCUCAAUUUAUAGAAGACAAGACUUAUAUCCAUAGUUACAUUUUAUUACAAGUGGCAGCUGGAUAACAACAUGAUUAGUUUGUACAAUUAAUCCUUGUAAUAAUUCAUCAAUUACUGUCAAUUUGUUUGUCUUUCUUUCUGUAAUAUUGAUUGAUGGCUAGACAAGACAGUUGCACCGUUAGCCAUGGCAAAUCGGUUGGUGCACAAGCAUAAUCCGUGUGGUACACGGCUUCUGUCUUUCGUGUUUUCCUACACUAGAGCUUCAAAUCGAGAUAUAAAUCUUAAAAAAUCGAUCUACAUUAUGUUUUACGUGAAAAUCAAAAUAAAAAGUCGAAUCUUAAAAUAGCAUAAAACAAAUUUGAAUCGAGUUUAAGCGAUGUAAGUACAUUUUUCGAGACACCCAUCACCCCCCAUUGUUUAUCUGAAUAAGAUAUUCCAUUCAUCGUACUAUAAUCUUCACAUUUUCCAAUUGAUGUUGCCGAUAUCGACUAUAAAAAAGUAAGAGAAGAAGAAAAGAAGAUAAUUUAUGAGGAAGGAACUUAUGCAUAUAAGUGAGGCAUGUUAGGUAGGUGGUAUGUAAUCAACCACUCUUUCAUUUUGUAAUAGCUCACAUUAGAGCUAAGAUGCCACAUGUCAUGUCUUGGUUGGCUAAAUUUAUGAAAAAUUUACGACAGAGCUACUCUCGCCUAUGUGCCCUUGGGCCCAUGGGAUUCGAUUGGCCAGUUGCGGACUCAAAGUCGUCGAUUGGUUUGUCGAAAGUCUAGGCGGGUAGGCACAGUAAGUGACAAGCCAACUAUCAGGUGGUUUGUUUCUCAUGCAAUGUUUAGUCCCAACUUGGCCACAGCUGUUACAUUCAAGUGAAGUGGAAAAUUUGACAUUUUUAUCGGAUUAGAAAGUGACCUUAGAUGCUUCAUGAGAUUUAACAAAGAUUCUCAAAUCAACCAACCCAUGUUUGGUUAGUUUUGUUUCAUUUGGAGAAUAAAUUAAUAAUGAUCAAAUUGGUCUUUUUUUAAUUCAUUUUUACCAACCAUAACAUCAUGUGCUAUUACAAAAAGAAAAUGACUGAAUUUCAACCAUAGCCAACCACUCUCUUUUUCCAUUAUAGUCAACCAUUUCCUUGAUAUUUGUUUAAUUAUGUGACCAAAAUAAAACACCUCGAACAAACUCUACAUGCGAUAUUUGAAUUGUUAUUCCAAUAAUUUUUUUAUGAUAUCAAAAUUUAUUCACAUUUUAUUAAUUUAUGAUAAAAUUAUGCUUUUGUAUAAAUAUUUUGACUUAUUAAUAUUAACACAAACAGAUAAUAAUGUUCAACGUGCCAAAAAGAAUAUUAUUGACAUGAGAAAAUAAAUCUUCCUCACGAGCAAUUCGAUAAUUUUUUACAUAACUAACGUUACAAUCGCACCGUCACCAACUUCCAAAUACUAACAUGUUGUCCGUUUUUUUAGCCACACUAACAUCGAUUUAUUUUUUGGUUCUUUCCCAUAAUGUGUUAUACAAAUAUAGUUAAGACAUAGUACACAAUUAUAAGUUAAACAAAUUUGGUCUAAUCAACGGUUAUUCCAACACGGUCUAGUCUUCCUCUCCAUGCUGUUGAAUUCAGCCGAUAUAGCAAACGUGUGAUUAUUUUCCGUCUAGAAGUCAAUAAAUGUGUACGAGGAUGGAAGAUUAACGGCGGCGGUGACAACCGUCGACGGAGCUUUUGUCGAUCAUAUCAUAUUAUCAAUAGGCUGUGGAGUAGUAGCUGUAAAGGGUACCAAGUUGUCUUCCAGGCAAAUGGGCAUAGAGACCUUCAAUUAUUUCACAACUUGUUCGGAUUCAUAAUCGGCGGCGGCGCGUGGUUUUCGUCCAAGAAAAUAAUAAUAAUGACGUGCAUGGGACAAAACACUAAUACUAAUAAUACUUAUCCUAAACCAGGUGGUAUUGCUCUAACCGCCCACUGUUUUAGUUUCCACCGUCGCCGCGGCUGUCAGAUAAGUUUCAACGGAGCAGCGUAUAUUUACAUUUGACGGCCGUGUUUUCAAUUUUCCGUCCGGCGGCUUCUAUGAUUUUGAUGACGAUGACCAAUUUUACAUUUCAAUAUCGAGCAUUUGAUUGGCCAAGGUUGAAACUAGUCAACUAGCUAGAUACAUCUAUCUCACACUAAUUCUGACGGUGAAAAUUAAAUUUGACAUCUUACCGUAUUAGAAAGUGACAUAAGAAAGGUUAAUAGUUUAAUAUGAAUCAUGAGAUUUAGCUAGGAUUCUAAAAGUCAACCCCAAUAUCUUCCCUACUCUUCCUUUUCGGUUCGGUUCGAUCAAUGACGGAUCCAAGAUGUACUGAGUUAGAUUUGAAUUGAAAUAUAUAUAUAUCGAGUAAUUAAUUUACGAAUACAUAUUUUAAGCGUAAUAUAUAAGUUAGAAUAUACAUAUUGUAGUUAGGAUUUCUAGUGGGUUUCCACCACAUGCAUGUAGAAAGUAAGCUAAUUUAAAAAAUUUCAACAUUAACAUAAUAUCAAGUAAAAUUGAUUUUCAACUUCAUUUAAUUAUUAUUACAUGGAUUAUCAUGAUGACACUUGAUUUUUAACUAUUUUCAACACACAUGUCAAAUAUUAAUCAAUUUAAAAUUUUUAAAUUAAUUAAUAUUUAAUAUGCAUAAUGAUUAAAAAUUGAGAUUUUACUAUGUUGAAUCAACCUCGAAUAACUUUUUAACGGAGGGAAACGUAUUUCCAUUUCACGGACGGCCGUGUUUCAAUUUUCCGGCGGCUUUCACGAUUGACGACGAUGACCAAUUUGACCUAUCGGAUACACCUCAACGUUCAAAUAUGAAGCAUCUGAUUGACCAGGCGAUAAACUACUACUAGUCAACUACCUAGAAACAUCUUUCUCAUCCAAUUCUCAUCUACAACAUGGCAAAUAUAUCCUUUAAUUUCAAGGUGAUAUGGAGAAAAUUGACAUCUGAGGUUAGAAAAUAACCUAAAUUAGAUGCAUCAUGAGAUUUAGUUAGAAUUUCAAAAAGUUAAUGUAAGAUACCUCUAAUUCAUGUAUAUUAAUCUUGGGCCUCGAACCGAACCCAUAAAUUUAAAAGAUCAAACACAUUUUAACGUCCAAUAAUUGAAUAAUCUCAAAUGAUUGGUCAAAUUCAAAAGAAAAUUGAAUAUUGUUCCCUCUAAACUACAUGCCUCAUGGGCACUCCAUAAAGCAUAUACUUACUACUUUUUUUCACAUGCCUUGCGAGGUAUACCCAUGAGUAGAACAAUUAGAAAACAGAAAAUAUAUCAAGCAAUUUCUAAUUAUCAGAUUGUAUAGGCCAAACAAAUGUAUCACCCAAUCCAAUCAGACUGAACUCUUUGUCCAUUUUCUAAUUAAAACUUUUGCUACAAUCUUAAUAAGUAAACACACAACCUUUUUAUUUUGACAUUAUAUACUUUUUUCGUGUUUUGACUUGUUGGCAUUCAUGAAUGCAUGCAAAUAUCAAUGCAUAGCAUUAAUGAUGUCCCUUAGGAUCUAAUUCAUCACGAUCCAACAUUCAACAACAAUCGUCCACUUACAAACAGUGAACACUUCGUAUACUAACAAGUUAAAAUGAAUAAUUAUCUUGAUAUCUCUAGACGAGUUAUUAAGAUAAGAAAAAAUAUAUUCAAAUUGAUGAUAAAAUUGGUCUUCUUUAAUGCAGAAAAAGAGUCAACCACUUUUCAUUUUGUUUAUGAUCCAAAAAUAGAAAAACCCCGCCGCGUUCCCUUAUUCGGAAUACCGCUUUUUGACUUUUUUUUACGUUUCAGGAGCCAGAGGAGAAGAGAAGCAAGCUCACCGAGUUCACCGAAUCUCUGCAACUUGCUAACUCACUAUUUGUUUAAUCAUCCCUGCAAAUGCGUUCAUCUCCAAAAACCCAAUUCAUUUCCAUCAACCUUUUUCUUACUCUCUCGCCGAAUCGACGGACUUCAUGGCCCAACUACUCCGGCUGAACUUUCCGACCAUCGUCGUCUUUACUUGCUUGCUUCUCACCACCACCACCCGUCUCUGCCUGGGAGCUGACAGGAUCUCUCAGAACGAAACGCUCACAGCAAACCAGACGCUAAUCUCCUCAAACGACAGAUUCGAAUUGGGUUUCUUCAAUCCAGGUAACUCCUCAUCUUACUACCUCGGAAUCUGGUACUAUCAGGUCUCCAUUAGGACAGUAGUGUGGGUUGCAAACAGAGAAUCCCCUGUUCCCAACAACUCCUCCGCCGAGCUCAGAAUCUCCGGCGGCGCCUUAGCUCUGUUCUUCAACCAAUCCCAGAUCUGGUCCACUCCGACGACGGUUUCUUCUUCUUCUCCGACGGAAGCUGUUCUUCUCGAAGACGGAAACUUCGUGUUAAGAAAAACAGAUUCCUCCGAAAUUGUGUGGCAGAGCUUUGAACAUCCGACGAACAUUUUCCUCCCGGAAGCCAAGCUCAGCCGCAGCAAAAUCACUGGCGAGCACACAACUGUGGUUCCCUGGAGAGGAAAUAACGAUCCCACCCCUGGGAAUUUCUCCCUGCAGUUAGACCCCAACGGUACGGAUCAGUUUGUUAUAAUCAAGGACCAAUCCUCGUUGUACUGGAACAGUGGGGUUUGGAAUGGGAGAUUCUUCACAUCAGUUCCUGAGCUGAGAACGAAUUUCUCAUACAAUUUCUUCUUCAUCGACAAUGAAAACGAAACCUACUUUACUUAUUCCUUGUACAACAAGUCAAGCAUCUUCCAUGUCGCAAUAACCGAAGGAGGUAACCUCCAGCUGCUGUCAUGGAUGGAAGCUACUCAGAGAUGGUUCUUAGCUUGGUCGAGGCCGAAAUUACAGUGUCAGGUUCAGCUGUACUGCGGUGCAUUCGGAUCGUGUGAUGACGAAUCCACCCCUACUUGUCGUUGUCUCGAAGGAUUCGUUCCAAAAUCGAGCGAAGAGUACGAUUCCAACAUAUUCUACAGCGGAUGCAUUCGAAGAUCCGAGCUUCAAUGUGGUAGGAGCAACAAUAACACUGAUAGGUUCAUCAGAGGGUAUGCGGUUAGGGAUACGGUUUCGGGAUCCCCUGCUUCGAGAUCGGCUGCGAAUGUAGAGGAAUGUCAAUCGGUCUGCGAGGAUACGUGUUCAUGUAACGCGUAUGCUUUCGAAAACGGGAGGUGCUCGGUUUGGAAUGGUGAGGUGUAUGACAUGUUUCGGCUUGGUAAUGGUUCGUCUGGUGGUGUGCCGAUUUUCGUUAGGGUUGCUGCUGAGGUAGCGAGUGGUGGUUCGGGUUCGAAGAAGGGUGUUGUUCUUGGUGCUGUGCUUGGAUGUCUGGUGGCAGCUGCGAUUGUCGGGUUUGUAAUGUUCGUAGCCUUCAGGCGGUAUCAGAGGAGAAAGAUGGAUCGAAAUAUCGAGGAGAAUUUCAACAUUGCGAAUGGUGACGAGGAUGACAACACAAAGCUGACGUUCUUCAGCUUUAAGAACGUUUUAGCCGCCACUGAUAACUUCUCCGAAGCGAACAAGCUUGGAGAAGGCGGUUUCGGUCCUGUCUAUAAGGUAAAACUUCUUCUGCUUUAACAUUCUUUGCUGUAGUUCUGUUUCAGGAAUGGUCUGUUUCAUUUGGAGACACAUUGUGUAUCAGGGAGUUCUACUGCAUGAUCAAGAAGUGGCAAUAAAACGGCUUUCGAAGAAAUCAGGGCAAGGGUUAGAGGAGUUCAUGAACGAGCUGAGACUCAUUGCGAAGCUGCAGCACACUUACCUAGUCAGGCUGUUGGGAUGCUGCGUCGAGAGGGAGGAGAAGAUACUGAUCUACGAGUAUUUACCGAAUCGGAGCCUGGAUAAGUUCCUCUUCGACCCGGCUGCAAAAACCGAUUUGGAUUGGCUGAUGCGGAUCAAGAUCAUCGAAGGGAUAGCUCAGGGACUUCUGUACAUCCACAAGUACUCGAGAUUGAAGGUCAUCCACAGAGACCUGAAGGCCAGCAAUGUUCUUCUGGAUGCUGAUAUGAACCCCAAGAUCUCGGAUUUUGGAAUGGCCAGGAUCUUCGGGAUCGAUCAAGCUGAAGCUAAUACCGUCCGCAUCGUUGGAACAUAGUAUGUGUGCUAUUGUGCUAUACUUACAUCAAUCUUAUCGAUUUUUUUUUUCCUCUGACAUGACCAUUUGUGAUGGUGCCAGUGGAUACAUGUCACCAGAAUACGCAAUCUACGGGUCAUUCUCGGAGAAGUCAGAUGUGUUCAGCUAUGGCGUACUACUUUUAGAGAUCGUUAGCGGGAGGAGGAACACCGAUUUCUACGAUCGCGAAACUCCGUUCUCCCUUCUUUGCUGGGUGAGUUUCAUAAUGUUAGAUUGUAAUUUGGUCAAUGGUCUUGGUCUGACACAGUGUUUUGGUUUUGAAGGCAUGGGAGCUAUGGAAAGAAGGGAAACCGGAAGAGCUGAUCGAUCCGGCGGUGAAGGACGCCAACAUCAAUGCUCCGCAAGCUGUGAAGUUCGUUCAUGUCGGUCUGCUGUGCGUGCAACAGGAUCCAGCUGACAGGCCGACCAUGUCAUUAGUAACUCAGAUGCUGUCGAGCAAUUACUCGCAGUCGUUUCCGUUGCCUGGAGAACCGGCCUUCAACAUCGGGAGAGCUGCUGUCGGAGGAAGUAGUAGCGUUGGAUCGGUUCCUACCGAUAUUUCGAAUAACCAGAUCACGAUUACCAUGCCGGUUGGUAGAUAGUAGCUGCUACUUUUGUGUAUGGGAAGAACUAUACCAUCCAUUACCAUGUAUGACUUUCCAGUUAUGAAUGCAGAAAUUGAAUAAAUACCAAAUCUACAGUGCCACAUGUCAUGCCACUAUUGGUUAGUUCGGGCAAAAACAUUCGAAUGUUGAACACUUCUACAAGUCAGCAGUCAUGUCGGCGGCGGUUACGAAUCCAUAACCCCAAUUUCACUGCAAUAGAAAAGAACAGAAUUACUAUUGAUGGAAUGAAAUAAGUCUGAGAUGAAAGUUCAGUCAGAGGUUUGACCUAAAAUGCUGACUAUCGUUGUCUGAAUAUAAUAUAUAUUAACUAAUGAACUUCAUACUCUUAACCAUACAAAUCCUUCAAUCAUCAUCUGUUCUUCAGCUUUCAUGGCGGCUAAUCCAUGGCUAAAAUUUCCAGCCAUAAUCACCAUUUUCUUCAUUUCCUUUUCUCUGAAAGCACAUUUCUGUCAUGGAGCUGACAGGAUUACUCAGAACCAAUCUCUGUCUGCACACCAAACCCUGAUCUCAUCAGGGAGCAGAUUCGAGCUCGGUUUCUUCAAGCCCGGGAACUCAUCAAACUACUACCUCGGAAUCUGGUUCCACAAAGUGAGUAGAGCAGUGUGGGUAGCCAACAGAGAAUCGCCGAUUUUCAACCCUUCGUCUACUGUGUUAAGAUUCUCGGACGGGAAUCUAGCUCUGUUCAGCAAUGAGUCCGGCCAAGUUCCCAUUUGGUCUACCAAUUCUUCGACCCCUUGUACGGAGGCUGUUCUUCAGGACAAUGGGAAUCUCGUGUUGAAGGGGGGAUCAUCUGAUGAUGAGAUCCUGUGGCAGAGCUUUGAACACCCGAGUGAUACGUUGCUUCCUGGUGCGAAGCUCGGGCACAACAAAAUCACGGGGAGGUACAUUACUAUGGUUCCUUGGAAGAGUGAGGACGAUCCAGCUCCAGGGGAUUUCACCGUGCAGCUGGAUCCGAACGGGACGAAUCAGCUCGUUGUUAUCACGAACAAGUCCACCUUGCACUGGACUAGUGGGCUUUGGAACGGGCGUUUCUUCAGCUCGGUUCCUGAGAUGAUGUGGAAGAACAUUUAUGACUUUGUCUACAUUGAUAACGAGAACGAGGCCUACUACGCAUAUUCCGUGCUCAACAAGUCACUCAUCUUUCGCAAGUCGGUGAGUAAAGAUGGGAACUUUCAAGUAUUGCUAUGGAAUCAGAACUGGAAUCUGAUCUGGUCACAACCCAGGUCGCAGUGCGAAGUCCGACAAUACUGUGGUGCUUUCGGGUCUUGCCACGACGGAUCCUCUCCUUCCUGUUAUUGCGUUGAAGGGUUUGUUCCAAAGUCCGCAGAUGAAUACAGCUCGAACGUGUUCUACAACGGCUGCAUCAGAAAAUCUGAUGUUCAAUGUGGGGAUUCGAGAAACGGGACAAUCAAGAAGCUGCCUCUUAAAGAUAAGUUCCUUCAGGGCUAUGCAGUAAGUGAUAACACGUCAGGAUCUCCAGCCUAUAGAUCGCUUAGGAAUGUUCAAGAGUGUGAAUCCACUUGCCUCGACAGUUGCUCCUGCUGUGCAUAUGCUUACCAAGACGAUACAUGCUCGAUUUGGUCGCAAGAAGUUUACGAUAUCCAUAGCCUUGCUGAUGACCCUACCGGAGUACCAAUUUAUGUAAGAGUUGGUACUAGUACUGAACUCCCAAGUUCGGGUACUAAGAGAGUGGUUCUUGGUGCUGUGUUUGGCUCGAUAGCCGCGGUUGUUCUCAUCGGCUUUCUAUCGAUUGCAGUAUCGAGAUGGUACCACAGGCACAAGCUAGGUCAACACUCUUCCAUAAAUGUUUGGUGUAGUUCUCCAUGCUGAUUUGAUCUGACAUCAUCACUAAAAUUAUCAGGAAAUAAUGAUGAGAACAGCUACUUCAACGGGGAAGGAGGCGAAGAAAACAAUACGAAGCUGACAUUCUUCAGCAUCAAGACUGUAUUAGCUGCAACAGACAACUUUUCUGAAGCUAACAAAUUAGGAGAGGGCGGUUUCGGCCCAGUCUAUAAAGUAGGUUUCAGCUCUGAACUCAUUUUCUUUGCUGUUCGUUUCUACACUAAAAUUUAUUCUUUCAGGGAGUUUUGGUUCCUGAUGAUCAAGAAGUGGCUGUAAAAAGGCUUUCGAAGAAAUCGGGACAGGGGCUAGAGGAAUUCAUGAAUGAGCUGAAGCUCAUUGCAAAACUCCAACACACUUACCUUGUUAGGCUGUUAGGCUGCUGUGUUGAAAAGGACGAGAAGAUACUGAUCUACGAAUACUUGCCGAAUCGAAGCUUGGACAAAUUCCUAUUUGAUUCACCUGCAAAAGCAGAUUUGGAUUGGCUUACGCGAAUUAAAAUUAUAGAUGGCAUAGCUCAAGGGCUGCUGUACAUCCAUAAGUACUCGAGACUAAAGGUUAUUCACAGGGACAUGAAGGCAAGCAAUGUUCUGCUGGAUGCUGAAAUGAAUCCCAAAAUUUCGGAUUUCGGAAUGGCAAGGAUUUUCAGGAUUGGCCAAGCAGAAGCUAAAACCAAUCGAAUAGUUGGAACAUAGUAUGUUUGUAACCAUAUUUGUUUGUUAAUCUUUAACCUGCAAAACCCUUGGAUCACUGAUCACUACAAUGGUGCAGUGGCUACAUGUCCCCAGAAUAUGCAAUCUACGGGAAGUUCUCGGAGAAAUCAGAUGUGUUCAGCUACGGGGUGUUGCUGUUGGAGAUUGUGAGCGGAAGGAGGAACAAAGAUUUCAAUCAAUCCGAAAUUCCAUCCUCCCUUCUUUCUUGGGUGAGUCAAUGCUUUCCAUCCCUUUUACUUUCCUAGUCAAUUCUCUUUGUGUUCACUUGCUCAUCGUCGGAAUUAGUUGAAUGAAGAAGACAUGGGAGCUAUGGCAAGAAGGAAAACCAGAAGAGCUAAUCGAUCCAUCAGUGAAGGAUACUACCUGCAGUGAUACUGCAGAAGCGGUGAAGUUCAUCCACAUUGCCCUUCUAUGCGUGCAAGAAGCUCCAUCUAACAGGCCAACUAUGGCUUCAGUAGCUCAGAUGUUAUCAAGCAAUUAUCCAGAGUCAUUUCCAUUGCCAAAAGAACCGGCCUUUACGACGACGAGAGCUGUUCUUCCUAAUAAUUGUUCAAACAAUCAGAUGUCAAUGACCUUAUCAGUUGGUAGAUAGCAUGAGGAAAACUACAUAAUUUGUAGCUGACAUAUCAGCUAAUUAGCAUGUUUUUCUGCAGAGUAUAAAUAACGAUAUAACGAUAAAUUAACUUCUGAUACUAACAGUACAAACAUGUAGUGCUGAAAGAGCUGAUGAUAUCAUUCACUCCUUGUAAAAUCAUCUGGGUUCAUGUUAAGAAGUUCGAUCAUUGGAGCACGAGGCAAUGCCGGUCUGAGAAUAGGAGCUAUCCCAAUUCCUGCCAUCAAAAUCCUUGAUCUCGACAUGGGCGAGAGUUCCAGGAUCCACACACUUGUAGGUAACCGCAACGCCAUCCGGGUUCGAUCUCGGAAUGUAGAACGAAGUGAUCCCACAGACCUUGCAGAAGGUGUGUUUAGCAGUGUGAGUGCCAAAGGUAUAGGUAGUAACGUAACUUUGCGAAUCACCCAGAAGCUCGAAACUGUGGGAAGGAACAAUGAAAUGAACAUUCCCUCUCAUGGAACAGUCGGAACAGUUGCAUUUCCAAGCUACGACGUUCCUUGGCGCUCGAACUCGCCAUCUUAUCUUCCCGCAAUGGCAUCCACCGCUGUGAUUCACCAAUUCUUCACCCUCCAUUGCUCCCUGAUACAAAAGCGUCAGUCAACAAGGAAUGAAAGUCAACCGAGCUGGAUUUUGGGUGAAGUUUACCGGAGUUUCUUUGUGGAUGGAAGCAGGCGGUUCCGUCGUCGCAAAAGAUUCAGAGGAUCGGAGGGAAAGAUGGAGAGCAAUCCAGCUGAAAGGGGAUUAGGGAUUUUGACUAUUGAUUCUUUUUGUCUUCUUCUGCGAGUUCUUUAAAGCUAAAUAAAAUAAUCAUUUCCCUAAAGAAAUGAACCGUUUGUUUGGUUCAUUGCUGAAGCUCUGCGUAGUCAAAAUACGCGGUUCCUCAAGUCAACCCUCUGAAACUGAUAAGAAAUUUCGAAACACUGAUGAUGGAGGCAUUAAUCCAAAAAGAACAAAACUUUAUUAUACCCUUUUCCAUUUCUUGAUUUCCUGACUGCAAAUUGGAAGCACUACUUUCCAUGCUGUAUCUUCUGAUUCUUCUGUGUUUACUCUGCCUCAACAAGCUUGACCCUUGCCAUGGAAUCGAUAGGAUCACUGCAAAUCAAUCACUCACCGGCGACGAGACUCUCGUCUCCGCCGGAGGGAUCUUCGAAUUGGGGUUCUUCAAGCCAGGGAAAUCAGAAGAGUACUACUACAUCGGAGUAUGGUACAAACAAGUAUCUCCACGGACGGUGAUUUGGGUUUGGAACAGAUACCGUCCAGUUUCCAACAGGUUCAAUUCCGAGCUCAAGAUUUCCGACGACGGGAGGCUAGUUCUCGUCGAAGGCGGGUCAACUUUAGUUCGGUCAACCUACAUUCGGUCAACGUCGUCCUCAUUCAACGCAGUUCUCCUCGACCAGGGAAACCUCGUCGUCAUACCAACUAAUGGCUCCUCGUCUUCUCCAAUCUGGCAGAGCUUCGAUCAACCUAGCGAUACCUUGGUUCCCGGUAGGAAGAUUGGAUUCAACAAGAUUACUGAUGACGAAGUAGUUCUCACUUCCUGGAGGAACAGAGCAAAUCCUACUGCUGGUCCAUUCACUCUCAAGCUGGGUUCAAAUCGAUCGCUUGAAUGGAACAUGGAGAGAAAUUUCUUGCUGGGUGAAAGACGGAUUAUAGAAUUGAAUUCCAUGAACAACUUUGUUUACGUGGAUGAUCGGAAUGGAAGCUACGUCACUCUUUCUGAUCAUCGACGUAACGGUUCCCUGUUUUCUCGGUACGUUUUAGAUGUAGGAGGGCAAAUUCAGCUUCUAUUAUGGCUGGAAUCCACCCAGCAGUGGGUGUCAAUCUGGCAAAAUCCUACAUCUAAAUGUGAAAUGAGUAGCUACUGUGGUGCUUAUGGGAGUUGUGAGGAGAAAUCCAGUCCAAUUUGUCAUUGUUUGGAUGGGUUUGUUCCACAAUCUCUGGUUGAUUAUAGCUCUGAGGCCUUCUACGAUGGCUGCUUAAGGAGAUACCCUCUUCAGUGCCAGAAACCUGACUGGUUUUUGCCACAUUACAAUGUGGGGUUGCCUAGCACUCCAUUGAUGAUAUCAUCAGCUACAAGUUCAGAUGAUUGCGAGGCGAAAUGUCUGAUAUCUUGCAGCUGCAGUGCUUAUUCCUACAGUGGAAACCAAUGCUCCCAUUGGGAUGAUUUAUUGUUUAAUCUGCAGCAACUGGAUGUCCCAAAUGGGAAAACCAUCUUCAUCAAACUUGCAGCUAACGAAUCCUCAUUUCUUGACAACGACAUUUAUCGAAGAAAGAACAACAAGAUCAGGAUCGUGAUUGGAUCUGUGGCAGGUUCAAUGUUGCUGCUAGUUCUUGUUGCAUUGACAAUCCUGAGAUGGAGGAGGGAUAAGAUGCCUGGGAAAUUAAUGGAAGGGUUUUUGGUGGCUUUUACACACAGACAUUUGAAGAUUGCCACCAAGAAUUUCUCACACAAGUUGGGGGAAGGAGGGUUUGGUUCUGUCUACAAAGGAACACUCCCCGAUUCGAGCAUUAUAGCCGUGAAAAAGCUGCAGAGCAUCAAUUCCAGGCAAGCUGAAAAUCGCAAGCAAUUCCUUGCAGAAGUCAGGACUCUCGGCGCAAUCCAACACGUUAAUCUGGUUGGCCUUAGAGGGUUUUCAUCUGAUAACAAUACUAUGAUGUUGGUCUAUGAUUACAUGCCAAACGGUUCGGUAUCGUCCCAUUUGUUCGAUCCUUCAAAGAUCCUCGCUUGGAACAUGCGGUACAACAUUGCAUUGGGAACAGCGAGAGGUUUAGCUUAUAUACACGAAAAAUGCAGAGAAUGUAUAAUCCACUGCGACAUUAAACCGGACAAUGUGCUAUUGGAUUCUGAGUUUCAACCCAAAGUCGCAGACUUUGGCCUGGCAAAGCUCUUUGGGAGAGAUUUCAGCCGGGUGCUAACCACCUUGAGGGGAACUAUCGGGUACAUGCCGCCUGAGUGGAUUUCGGGUGAGGCGAUUACUGCAAAAGCUGACGUUUACAGCUACGGGAUGGUGCUGUUGGAGCUGGUGUCCGGAAUGAGAAACUCGCAACGACAUGUUUGUGUCGGUCAUUACUUUCCGGUUUGGGUAGCGGAUGUUUUAAGCGAAGGUGGCGAUCUGGCUGAGGUGCUGGAUCCAAGGUUAGAAGGGAAUGCUGAUGGUGAAGAGUUGGAAAGAGUCUGUAGAGUUGCUGUUUGGUGCAUUCAGGAUGAUGAAAGUCAACGUCCGAGUAUGAGUCAGGUAGUGUACAUUCUUGAGCAGGUUUUGGAAGUGGGAAUUCCUCCUGUUCCGAGUAUUCUUCAGAGAUAUGUUAAUCCUGAUGACUGACUAGAGUUUCAGGUUGCUAUUGAUAUGAUCAUAAACUGAAAUCCAAGUUGUAAUAUACGAGCUUUGAAAUGAUUCCCAUUAGUGCAACUAAAUACCAAACAAGAACACAAUCCAAAAAAGUAAAUGAAAAUGGGAAGAAAAGAAAACAUAAAACGUUUCCGCCAUGGAUGAUAUGAUCAUAAACUGAUAUUCCAGUAGAAUCGUUGGAUGGUGUUUGUAGCAAAUACUUCAAAAUCAUGGGGCAGUUUAGCACCCGAUUGAAAAUGGUGAUUUUACCAGAAAGUUCCAGAAAAAGACCCGAGACUGACCCGUUGUCUACACCUACAGCUCAUACAAGAGUUCGGCAGGGAAAUAUCAGCACGAUUGACGAUUCUAUCCUUGACUAAUCCUCCAUGUAAUAUUAUUUCCAGGUCCAUGAAGUCUUCUACCAGCAAUGUUGACUUGACGUGUUCAUUUUCAUUUGCAAUAUGAAAUUUGAUGCUGUAACUUGGCAAGUCAUUCCUUCUCUGCCAUGGCUUCUCAUCUCUGGCUCAACUUGCCGGCCAUCAUUUUCAUUUGCUUAUCUCUCAAACCCCAUUUCUGUCUAGGAGCUGACAGGAUAGCUCAGAACCAAUCUCUGUCUGGAGACCAAACCUUGGUCUCAGCAGGAAGCAAAUUUGAACUGGGUUUCUUCAAGCCAGGUACCUCAUCAAACUAUUACCUUGGAAUUUGGUAUUAUCAAGUCCCUAGCAGAACAGUAGUUUGGGUUGCAAAUAGAGAAUCCCCCAUUUUCAACCAUUCCUCUACUGAAUUGAGAAUCUCCGGCGGUAGUUUAUUCCUGUUGAGCAGGUUCAAGGUCCCAAUUUGGUCCACAGCUGCUUCCCUUUCAUCUGCUUCAGUGGAAGCUGUACUUCUCGACGAUGGGAAUCUUGUGUUGAGAAGUGUGGUUUCUUCUUCUGAAAUUUUGUGGCAGAGCUUUGAUUACCAAACUGAUACAUUUCUUCCUGGUGCCAAGCUUGGGCGCAACAAGAUCACGGGUAAGUACACAACUCUGGUUUCGUCGAAGAGCAUUGACAAUCCUGCACCUGGAAGAUUCUCGCUGCAGAUUGACCCAAAUGGUACUAACUCGUUUGCAAUUUUAAGGCAAACGUCUUCCUUGUAUUGGACUAGUGGGCCUUGGAAUGGCAUUAUCUUCAGCUUAGUUCCUGAUCCGAUGAGAUUGAAUUUCAUUUUCAAUUUUUCAUUUGUUGACAAUGAGAACGAGACCUAUUUCACUUAUUCGUUGUACAAUCAGUCCAUGAUAGCUCGUCUGGUGAUGAGUGAUGGAGGUAACAUCCAAGCACUGAUAUUGUUGGAGAUCGGUCAUCAGUGGUCUUUGUUCUGGUCACAGCCCCGAAUGCAAUGUGACGUUGAAGGCUACUGUGGUGCAGUCGGGUCUUGUGAUGAUCGAUCCCAGCCUUUCUGCCAUUGCCUGGAAGGAUUUGUUCCAAAUUCUACGGAUGAAUACAGUUCAAAUGUGUUUCGUGGCGGUUGCAUCAGGAAAUCUAAUAUUCACUGCGGGAAUGCGAGUAUUGGGAUGAGUACUGAUGAGUUCCUUCCAGGGUAUGUAGUAAAGGACAGAAGCUCAGAUUCUCGAGCCAAUAAUUCAGCUAGGAAUGCUCAAGAAUGUGAAUCGAUUUGUUUGAGCCGUUGCUCCUGUACUGCAUAUGCUUAUGAAGGCGGUAGAUGCUCAACUUGGUAUGGAGAUGUAUUUGAUAUUUAUAAACUUGAUUAUAUCUCUGCUGGACGACAAAUUUAUGUAAGAGUUGCUGCUGAAAUUCAAAAUUCCGGAACUGCUGAAAUUCAAAAUUCCGGAACCAAGAGAAAGGUUAUUGCUGCUGUGUUUGGCUGUUCAGCUGCGGUUGUUCUUAUCGCCCUUUUACUGUUUGCGGUAUCGAGGUACCGUCGGCACAAGCUAGGUAACACUCCUGAAUCAAACGAUAAUACAUUGACUGCUUUGGAACAUUCAUACUCUUAUGAUCUAACAUAUCACUGAACAUUUACAGGAAAAGACAUUGCGGAGAGCUACAAUAUUGUGAAUGGAGAUGAAGACAACAAUACAAAGUUGACGUUUCUCAGCAUUAAGAGUGUAUUAGCUGCAACAAACAACUUUUCUGAAGCUAACAAACUAGGAGAAGGCUGGUUCGGGCCUGUUUAUAAAGUGAGGUUUCUGCAUUCCUUUCUUUGCUUUAGUAAUUGUCACAAAGAGUAAAUUAGUUGUUCAUUCGGGUGACUUUCUUUCAGGGAGUUCUGCUUCCCGGUGAUCAAGAAGUAGCCGUGAAAAGGCUUUCGAAGAAAUCGGGACAAGGGUUAGAGGAAUUCAUGAAUGAGCUGAAGCUCAUAGCAAAGCUCCAACACACUUAUCUUGUUAGGCUGUUAGGUUGCUGUGUUGAAAAGGAUGAGAAGAUACUUAUCUACGAGUACCUGCCUAAUCGAAGCUUGGACAAAUUCCUCUUUUAUUCGUACGGGAAAGCUAAGUUGGAUUGGCUGACGAGAAUUAAGAUUAUAGAAGGAAUAGCUCAAGGACUGUUGUACAUCCACAAGUACUCAAGAUUGAAGGUCAUUCACAGGGACAUCAAGGCAAGCAAUGUGCUGCUGGAUGCUGAAAUGAACCCCAAAAUUUCGGAUUUCGGAAUGGCGAGGAUUUUCGGGAUUGGUCAGGCAGAAGCCAACACCAACCGUAUAGUGGGAACAUAGUCUGUACUACUUCAACGAUCUCUUCUUGUUUAUUUACUAUCAUGGAUUUGACACUAUCAUUGUGAUGGUGCAGUGGCUACAUGUCUCCAGAAUACGCGUUCUACGGGCAGUUCUCCGAGAAAUCAGACGUAUUCAGCUACGGGGUGCUGCUGUUGGAGAUUGUGAGCGGGAGGAGGAACACAGAUUUCUACGAUUCCGAAACACCGUUAUCCCUUCUUUGCUGGGUGAGUUAACGUCGUAAUCCCUUUAUAAUUCGGUCUUAAUUAAUUUCACUUGCUGAAAUGUGUGGUUGAUUGAAGGCAUGGGAGCUAUGGAAAGAAGGUAAACCAGAAGAUCUACUUGAUCCAGCCUUGAAGAAUACCUGCAUUAAUGCUCCAGAAUCCGCGAAGUUCGUCCACGUUGGUCUGCUGUGCGUGCAAGAGGAUCCAGCUGACAGGCCGACAAUGGCUUAUGUAGCUCAUAUGUUGUCAAGCAACGAUUCUCAGUCGUUUCCAUUGCCAGGCGAACCGGCCUACAUCACAAGGAGAGCUGUUGUUGGAAAUGGUGAGCAAGUUCCCGCCGUUUUUUCAAACAACCAAUUGACACUGAGCUUGCCAACUGGUAGAUAGAUCAUAGAUCUCCCCUACUGGUCAAGAGGAGGAGCUUCAUUUUCAAAAUGAACUAGUUAAUCUAUUGUAGCCAAUUAGGGGAUGUAGCUCAGAUGGUAGAGCGCUCGCUUAGCAUGCGAGAGGUACGGGGAUCGAUACCCCGCAUCUCCAAUUUUUUCUCACCUCAUGUAAUAUUUACAAUCUCAGAACAGUAUUAGUACAGCAGAGUCCACAGAAUGAUAAAUGCAGCAAAUCUCAGUCUGGAAACCCUCUGAUGAACCACUGCUGUAAAGUAUGUGGGAAAACAACAGCAGCAAGACAUACAUUCAAUAUAUAAGACAGAUGGUGGGUUUUCAUUCACUUUUGUUUUCAUGCACUCAGCAGUUGCUGGUUUCUGAGUCCUCAAUGUUGCAUUGAUCUGUCAUCCCCUAAUGCAAUCAUUAACCUAUUCAAAAGGGAGAGGUGGUGAUGAUGGGAUGGAUGAUGGAUUGUGCCACCAAAUGCGCCAAAAGAAGUGAACAGUCAUUAUGAUCAUUAAUUCGUUGCUAGAAAAAUGAUAGCUAUAAUCAUAAUUUUCCACCAACUUUUUUCAUCACACAAAUCAAUACCAAAACCAUGCUUAGAAUGCGUCUAGCAUGCUGUUUAUGUACUCGAAUUAUCAACCCUGAUCUUUCUCCAGUAGACAGGGUUUCGUUUAAGAAUGUUUGAUUUGUCAAGAAUCGUUGCAUUUUAAUAAUUUAAAUCGUUGAGAAAGGGUUAAUAAUAAAUAUUAUAUUAUUCUUUAACAUAAUUUGUUGUCUCUUUAUAGUCUAUACUUGUUUUUGUAUCACGAAAAGUGCAAAUUCAAAAUUUAUAUGUUUUUCAUACGCUAUAAAUACUCUCUAACUCUUAACUAGGAAAUACUUCUAAUGGAACAGAAUGUUAUAUAUACAUGACUACAUAGGCCACUCUNNNNNNNNNNNNNNNNNNNNNNNNNNNNNNNNNNNNNNNNNNNNNNNNNNNNNNNNNNNNNNNNNNNNNNNNNNNNNNNNNNNNNNNNNNNNNNNNNNNNAGUUGGGUUGGGAGGUGCCAAUUAGCAUUGCUUUCCCCCUUUGGCUUCCAUUUUGUUUUUCUCCCUAUAUACUACUAGAAGUACAUGCAUGAAACCCUAGUUUUUCAUCCUUUCUGUGCAACAAAAUUUGUUGUUUUCUCCUUUCCAUUAUAUCCCAAGUAAUGAUAAGCAAUUGUUGCCACCUAACAUUGCUAUAAAGCCAUGCAUGGCCAAUUAAGAAAUGCAACCAAAAAGGACCAACAAAAGAAGAGAAUCUUAUAAUCAUUUUCCAUUCCACCUAGCCUUCAUUCACAAUUCAUCAAUUUUCAGAAACAUUAAUUAUAUAAUAACGUUAUUAAUAAAUCAACGAUAAAUUAAAAAUUGGGAAAUUAUAUAUAUUUGAGGAUAUUUCGUAUCCAAUAUUAAUAAAAUAAUAAUUAAAUAAUUUUUUUCUACCUAAAUAAAUGAACUCAAUUUUUUAUGCUUUUGAUAUCUAACCCAUAAAUCUGAUUAACAACAACGAAUAAAAAAUAAAAAAGGGGGAAAAGAACCCAACACUCUUCACCAAUGUUUAGUGCCAAAGUGGAUUCCAUUUGGGACUUAGAAUUCAACACCCAACAAAAAUGAACAAAUUAAUUAAUUAUGCUUUCAAAGAUUGUGUGCUCUUAUCUAAUACACUAGAAUCUCAACUUUGGGUGACAGAUGUUUCCAAUUCAGUGGUCAAUGCCUGGUCUUUGUUACCAACUCAUAGCCAUCUUCUGUUUGAUAUUUUUGCUAACUUUUCAUUCGAGAGGUCGUUUACGAUGUUGUUAUCUCUUUAUCGUUUAUGUAUAAUUAUACGACGAGUAAUGUUAGAAAUGUUCUCUAUUGUUCAUCUUUAAUUGUUGAUGAUAUUGUUGACAGAAGUAUGCAUGGAAUACUUAUUGUUUUGGACACAUGAUGGGGUUAUAGUGAAAUGGCUCGAAGGAUCAAAUUAAUGGAUCGCGAAUGAGAAAAGCCUAACAAAUUCAAAAAGAUGUAUCACUCGCAUAGUUGAAUGUGCCAACAGAGAAUCAGGGUAACGCCCCGCUUGCUAAGGAGGUGAAACUCGCAUUAAAUGCUAAUAAGACGAGUCCCUGAGCAACUACCCAUCGAUUUUAUAUAGCUAAGAAGUUCGUGAUAUGUGACAACCUCGACUCUUUCGAGAAACUCAAAAUACACCGUACAUCCUUGGCGUUCAAUAUUAGUGUUUUGGAUGCUUUCUCAUUCACUUAUGUAGUUUGUAACAACUAACAAUGUAUAGUACAAUUCCAUGGAAACUAAUCCACGAUGGUUGAUUUCUUUCUUUCCUUUCUGUACUUCUUUCCGACAAUAACCAGAAGAAGAAGAAGAAACAAAUAAAAGAAACGUAAGCUAAGAACAGAGUAAAACCAGAGCAACAACAGAGUAGAGCAAAAAGAUCCAGUCUUUCGUCACAAAAAGAUUUCAAUAUACGAUCUCACACGAAACCCAGAAAAUUUCUGCUCAAUUAAACCUCCGGCGCCUGAUCCCGGCUGUCCCUUUCAGGUGGAGAAUCUCCGGUGGCUCCUUUUCAACAUCCCUUCCAUUACCACCCUCUGUUUUCUGUACUCCCUCGUCGCCGCCGCUGUCCUGUCCUUCUCCGUGGACUUCCUCGAUUCCACCGCCGGAGACUCCCGAAUGUGUCGGUGCCGCCGUCGAGGGAGGGAAUAUAGGCAGAUCAAAGUCAACGCCACUGCCCAGAAUUUCCCACCUAACACUGUCACUCCCAGACUCACCAGCAGCAGA
Molecule: long non-coding RNA, 77621 nt
Filed under: Linum usitatissimum (flax)
Lineage: Eukaryota; Viridiplantae; Streptophyta; Magnoliopsida; Malpighiales; Linaceae
Source: RNAcentral